UAAAGGAAUUAGGCCAACAGUUGUUACAUAUAGCACCUUGUUUCUUGGCCUUUUUGAAAUACACCAGGUUGAGCAUGCUUUAAAACUGUUUGAUGAGAUGCAGCAUAAUGAUGUAGCAGCCGAUACAUAUAUAUACAAUACCUUUAUUGACGGGCUCUGCAAGAAUGGUUUUGUUCUAGAGGCACUGGAAUUAUUCUGUGCUAUAGGAAAUAGCAAGUAUGAACUUGAUAUCAUAUCCUACAGCUGCCUCAUUGAUGGAUUGUGUAAAAUAGGCAAACUGGAAACUGCUUGGGAACUGUUUCAAAGUUUGUCUCGUGUAGGCCUAUUGCCAAAUGUUGUAACAUAUAACAUCAUGAUCCAUGGGCUUUGUAAUGAUGGGCAAAUGGACAAGGCACAUGAUUUGUUUCUUGAUAUGGAAGCAAAAGGUGUGGAACCCGAUUGUGUCAUAUUUAAUACGAUUAUGCUGGGUUUCAUCCGCAAUAAUGAGACAUCAAAAGUUAUUGAACUCCUUCAGCGAAUGGAUAAUAGAAAUGUAAUGCCAGACGCAUCUAUACUUUCAAUUGUUGUGGACUUGCUUGUAAAGAAUGAAAUUAGCUUAAACUCGAUUCCACAAUUCAAGAGUCAAUGAGUUUAAUGCUGAUUACUUGCAUGUCAAAGGUAAGUGAGUUUAAUAAUGAUUUAGUCGCAUGUUUCUUCUGCCUGAAAACUCAAUGUGGAGGAUCCUAUUCUUAUUACAACAUGUAAAGGAGUGUUGUCUAAUGUUGGCAUGUUCCUAGGUUCUGUCCAUGGAUUCUGUUUGCAGACAUGGCUAACUUCUUGUUCAACAGAUAAGUUUUAAAGUCUUUGAACUUAAUGUUGUAAAAUAACUUUUUUAUUAUUCAAUUCAUGAGUUUUUCUUCUAUAGCACAUCCUUCUCAUUAGCUGGAAGUGCAAAUUUUUUAGGCUUUUCCUGUAUGGCCUCUUUUUCUGUUCUAAAUAAAAUGGCAUUUUAUUUCCCUCCUGUGAGGGUACAACGUUUAUGUUUAAACUUUCUGUUAGUUAAAUUGGUUGUCUUUGAUAUAGGGAACUUCCAGUUGAGCUGAUUUGUAAUUCGAGUAUAUGAGAUUACCAACUGUAAUGGGAAUUGAUGCAUCAAAAAUUCGAUUUCGAAAUCCUUUCUUCCGCUGUAGGCCCAAGGCGGAUGUACGGUACAGCAGAACACUUUCUGUUAGUUAAAUUGGUUGUCUUUGAUAUAGGGAACUUCCAGUUGAACUGAUUUGUAAUUCGAGUAUAUGAGAUUACCAACUGUAAUGGGAAUUGAUGCCAAAUUAAUUAUGUCAUCAGGUUUUCCAAUCAGUGUUCAUCAUUUAUUUCUGUUAACAAUUAAUAGCACAGCUUGUCUUCGCAGCUUCAUUGGUUCCUCUCAAAAAAGUAAUGCCAGAUGCAUCUAUAGUUUCAAUCGUUGUGGACUUGUAAAGAAUGAAAUUAGUCUGAACUCACUUCCGUCAUUUCCUGUUCAAGAGCAGCAGGGGGAAGUUGAUGAGUCAAAUGUCAAGUUGUUGGAGCAUGUGCUUUCAGCCUAAAACCCUGAUCUGCAGCAUCUCAAUCAUGUUACAAAAGGACAUGUCGCCUGGUGACACCAUGUUCUCUACAGCGCUGUUAAUGGAUCCUGAUUGUUCUUGUGAUCUGGAGAGUCUCAUUCAUAAUACAGAUCUUGAUCAGGACGAGCUAGCAUAUGUGAUCACCAACUCUACAUGGUUGUUGAUGCCAAAUUAAAUAUGGUAUCAUGUUUUUCAACUUGUUAUUUUCUAUAGUCCUUCCUUUGAAUGGCCACAAGAAACUGUAAAAUCACCCUUUGUCUUGUUCCCUCUUAAUGAUCGAUCACUUUGGGAGCUAAUGAAUUAGUUGCACCUUGUCACUUUAUUGGUGCUUGAUUGUCGUUUGUACUUUGAAUUCACAGCAUAUUUUACACUUGAUGUACUCUUUCCAUAAUCACCUUUGAGGGCUGCUAGUAUGUAUAAUUGAAAAACCUUAUAUAAAUUCUAAGCAUUUUUAUUUAACUUGUUGUAAACCUCCAGUGUAUGUCUCUUCUGUGAAAUGAUUCAUACUCUAUGCUGCUAGGACCUAGGCUUAUGACUCUUCUGUGAAAUGAUUUACCCUCACCUGCACACAGACAUUUAUCCCAAUCAAGAAAUCUUCAAACAAUGUGAAAAAAAUUGCUUGAAACACGACGCAGACUUAACCGAUUAAAAUGUCCCUACUGUGAGGAAGGAUGCUAUACAACUGACUCGGAAAAUGUAAAAUGGAUAACGUACGCCCAAGAUGAUCAACUAGAAACACAAUUCAAAACUCGGGCUGCUUUUGGCUGCCCGGCCUUCAGAAGUCAAUAUUUAUAUGAACUUUUGAGGAGAAAUUAUAUGAACUUUUGAGGAGAAAUUAUACUAAGGGUUCAGAAGUCAAUAUUUAUAUGAACUUCAGAAGUCAAUAUUUGGCUGCCCGGCCUUCAGAAGUCAAUAUUUAAAAACUUGGUGAAAUUACCGAUUAAAAUGUCCCUACUGUGAGGAAGGAUGCUAUACAACUGACUCGGAAAAUGUAAAAUGGAUAACGUACGCCCAAGAUGAUCAACUAGAAACACAAUUCAAAACUCGGGCUGCUUUUGGCUGCCCGGCCUUCAGAAGUCAAUAUUUAAAAACUUGGUGAAAUUACCGAUUAAAAUGUCCCUACUGUGAGGAAGGAUGCUAUACAACUGACUCGGAAAAUGUAAAAUGGAUAACGUACGCCCAAGAUGAUCAACUAGAAACACAAUUCAAAACUCGGGCUGCUUUUGGCUGCCCGGCCUUCAGAAGUCAAUAUUUAAAAACUUGGUGAAAUUACCGAUUAAAAUGUCCCUACUGUGAGGAAGGAUGCUAUACAACUGACUCGGAAAAUGUAAAAUGGAUAACGUACGCCCAAGAUGAUCAACUAGAAACACAAUUCAAAACUCGGGCUGCUUUUGGCUGCCCGGCCUUCAGAAGUCAAUAUUUAUAUGAACUUUUGAGGAGAAAUUAUAUGAACUUUUGAGGAGAAAUUAUACUAAGGGUUCAGAAGUCAAUAUUUAUAUGAACUUCAGAAGUCAAUAUUUGGCUGCCCGGCCUUCAGAAGUCAAUAUUUAAAAACUUGGUGAAAUUACCGAUUAAAAUGUCCCUACUGUGAGGAAGGAUGCUAUACAACUGACUCGGAAAAUGUAAAAUGGAUAACGUACGCCCAAGAUGAUCAACUAGAAACACAAUUCAAAACUCGGGCUGCUUUUGGCUGCCCGGCCUUCAGAAGUCAAUAUUUAAAAACUUGGUGAAAUUACCGAUUAAAAUGUCCCUACUGUGAGGAAGGAUGCUAUACAACUGACUCGGAAAAUGUAAAAUGGAUAACGUACGCCCAAGAUGAUCAACUAGAAACACAAUUCAAAACUCGGGCUGCUUUUGGCUGCCCGGCCUUCAGAAGUCAAUAUUUAAAAACUUGGUGAAAUUACCGAUUAAAAUGUCCCUACUGUGAGGAAGGAUGCUAUACAACUGACUCGGAAAAUGUAAAAUGGAUAACGUACGCCCAAGAUGAUCAACUAGAAACACAAUUCAAAACUCGGGCUGCUUUUGGCUGCCCGGCCUUCAGAAGUCAAUAUUUAUAUGAACUUUUGAGGAGAAAUUAUAUGAACUUUUGAGGAGAAAUUAUACUAAGGGUUCAGAAGUCAAUAUUUAUAUGAACUUCAGAAGUCAAUAUUUGGCUGCCCGGCCUUCAGAAGUCAAUAUUUAAAAACUUGGUGAAAUUACCGAUUAAAAUGUCCCUACUGUGAGGAAGGAUGCUAUACAACUGACUCGGAAAAUGUAAAAUGGAUAACGUACGCCCAAGAUGAUCAACUAGAAACACAAUUCAAAACUCGGGCUGCUUUUGGCUGCCCGGCCUUCAGAAGUCAAUAUUUAAAAACUUGGUGAAAUUACCGAUUAAAAUGUCCCUACUGUGAGGAAGGAUGCUAUACAACUGACUCGGAAAAUGUAAAAUGGAUAACGUACGCCCAAGAUGAUCAACUAGAAACACAAUUCAAAACUCGGGCUGCUUUUGGCUGCCCGGCCUUCAGAAGUCAAUAUUUAAAAACUUGGUGAAAUUACCGAUUAAAAUGUCCCUACUGUGAGGAAGGAUGCUAUACAACUGACUCGGAAAAUGUAAAAUGGAUAACGUACGCCCAAGAUGAUCAACUAGAAACACAAUUCAAAACUCGGGCUGCUUUUGGCUGCCCGGCCUUCAGAAGUCAAUAUUUAUAUGAACUUUUGAGGAGAAAUUAUAUGAACUUUUGAGGAGAAAUUAUACUAAGGGUUCAGAAGUCAAUAUUUAUAUGAACUUCAGAAGUCAAUAUUUGGCUGCCCGGCCUUCAGAAGUCAAUAUUUAAAAACUUGGUGAAAUUACCGAUUAAAAUGUCCCUACUGUGAGGAAGGAUGCUAUACAACUGACUCGGAAAAUGUAAAAUGGAUAACGUACGCCCAAGAUGAUCAACUAGAAACACAAUUCAAAACUCGGGCUGCUUUUGGCUGCCCGGCCUUCAGAAGUCAAUAUUUAAAAACUUGGUGAAAUUACCGAUUAAAAUGUCCCUACUGUGAGGAAGGAUGCUAUACAACUGACUCGGAAAAUGUAAAAUGGAUAACGUACGCCCAAGAUGAUCAACUAGAAACACAAUUCAAAACUCGGGCUGCUUUUGGCUGCCCGGCCUUCAGAAGUCAAUAUUUAAAAACUUGGUGAAAUUACCGAUUAAAAUGUCCCUACUGUGAGGAAGGAUGCUAUACAACUGACUCGGAAAAUGUAAAAUGGAUAACGUACGCCCAAGAUGAUCAACUAGAAACACAAUUCAAAACUCGGGCUGCUUUUGGCUGCCCGGCCUUCAGAAGUCAAUAUUUAUAUGAACUUUUGAGGAGAAAUUAUAUGAACUUUUGAGGAGAAAUUAUACUAAGGGUUCAGAAGUCAAUAUUUAUAUGAACUUCAGAAGUCAAUAUUUGGCUGCCCGGCCUUCAGAAGUCAAUAUUUAAAAACUUGGUGAAAUUACCGAUUAAAAUGUCCCUACUGUGAGGAAGGAUGCUAUACAACUGACUCGGAAAAUGUAAAAUGGAUAACGUACGCCCAAGAUGAUCAACUAGAAACACAAUUCAAAACUCGGGCUGCUUUUGGCUGCCCGGCCUUCAGAAGUCAAUAUUUAAAAACUUGGUGAAAUUACCGAUUAAAAUGUCCCUACUGUGAGGAAGGAUGCUAUACAACUGACUCGGAAAAUGUAAAAUGGAUAACGUACGCCCAAGAUGAUCAACUAGAAACACAAUUCAAAACUCGGGCUGCUUUUGGCUGCCCGGCCUUCAGAAGUCAAUAUUUAAAAACUUGGUGAAAUUACCGAUUAAAAUGUCCCUACUGUGAGGAAGGAUGCUAUACAACUGACUCGGAAAAUGUAAAAUGGAUAACGUACGCCCAAGAUGAUCAACUAGAAACACAAUUCAAAACUCGGGCUGCUUUUGGCUGCCCGGCCUUCAGAAGUCAAUAUUUAUAUGAACUUUUGAGGAGAAAUUAUAUGAACUUUUGAGGAGAAAUUAUACUAAGGGUUCAGAAGUCAAUAUUUAUAUGAACUUCAGAAGUCAAUAUUUGGCUGCCCGGCCUUCAGAAGUCAAUAUUUAAAAACUUGGUGAAAUUACCGAUUAAAAUGUCCCUACUGUGAGGAAGGAUGCUAUACAACUGACUCGGAAAAUGUAAAAUGGAUAACGUACGCCCAAGAUGAUCAACUAGAAACACAAUUCAAAACUCGGGCUGCUUUUGGCUGCCCGGCCUUCAGAAGUCAAUAUUUAAAAACUUGGUGAAAUUACCGAUUAAAAUGUCCCUACUGUGAGGAAGGAUGCUAUACAACUGACUCGGAAAAUGUAAAAUGGAUAACGUACGCCCAAGAUGAUCAACUAGAAACACAAUUCAAAACUCGGGCUGCUUUUGGCUGCCCGGCCUUCAGAAGUCAAUAUUUAAAAACUUGGUGAAAUUACCGAUUAAAAUGUCCCUACUGUGAGGAAGGAUGCUAUACAACUGACUCGGAAAAUGUAAAAUGGAUAACGUACGCCCAAGAUGAUCAACUAGAAACACAAUUCAAAACUCGGGCUGCUUUUGGCUGCCCGGCCUUCAGAAGUCAAUAUUUAUAUGAACUUUUGAGGAGAAAUUAUAUGAACUUUUGAGGAGAAAUUAUACUAAGGGUUCAGAAGUCAAUAUUUAUAUGAACUUCAGAAGUCAAUAUUUGGCUGCCCGGCCUUCAGAAGUCAAUAUUUAAAAACUUGGUGAAAUUACCGAUUAAAAUGUCCCUACUGUGAGGAAGGAUGCUAUACAACUGACUCGGAAAAUGUAAAAUGGAUAACGUACGCCCAAGAUGAUCAACUAGAAACACAAUUCAAAACUCGGGCUGCUUUUGGCUGCCCGGCCUUCAGAAGUCAAUAUUUAAAAACUUGGUGAAAUUACCGAUUAAAAUGUCCCUACUGUGAGGAAGGAUGCUAUACAACUGACUCGGAAAAUGUAAAAUGGAUAACGUACGCCCAAGAUGAUCAACUAGAAACACAAUUCAAAACUCGGGCUGCUUUUGGCUGCCCGGCCUUCAGAAGUCAAUAUUUAAAAACUUGGUGAAAUUACCGAUUAAAAUGUCCCUACUGUGAGGAAGGAUGCUAUACAACUGACUCGGAAAAUGUAAAAUGGAUAACGUACGCCCAAGAUGAUCAACUAGAAACACAAUUCAAAACUCGGGCUGCUUUUGGCUGCCCGGCCUUCAGAAGUCAAUAUUUAUAUGAACUUUUGAGGAGAAAUUAUAUGAACUUUUGAGGAGAAAUUAUACUAAGGGUUCAGAAGUCAAUAUUUAUAUGAACUUCAGAAGUCAAUAUUUGGCUGCCCGGCCUUCAGAAGUCAAUAUUUAAAAACUUGGUGAAAUUACCGAUUAAAAUGUCCCUACUGUGAGGAAGGAUGCUAUACAACUGACUCGGAAAAUGUAAAAUGGAUAACGUACGCCCAAGAUGAUCAACUAGAAACACAAUUCAAAACUCGGGCUGCUUUUGGCUGCCCGGCCUUCAGAAGUCAAUAUUUAAAAACUUGGUGAAAUUACCGAUUAAAAUGUCCCUACUGUGAGGAAGGAUGCUAUACAACUGACUCGGAAAAUGUAAAAUGGAUAACGUACGCCCAAGAUGAUCAACUAGAAACACAAUUCAAAACUCGGGCUGCUUUUGGCUGCCCGGCCUUCAGAAGUCAAUAUUUAAAAACUUGGUGAAAUUACCGAUUAAAAUGUCCCUACUGUGAGGAAGGAUGCUAUACAACUGACUCGGAAAAUGUAAAAUGGAUAACGUACGCCCAAGAUGAUCAACUAGAAACACAAUUCAAAACUCGGGCUGCUUUUGGCUGCCCGGCCUUCAGAAGUCAAUAUUUAUAUGAACUUUUGAGGAGAAAUUAUAUGAACUUUUGAGGAGAAAUUAUACUAAGGGUUCAGAAGUCAAUAUUUAUAUGAACUUCAGAAGUCAAUAUUUGGCUGCCCGGCCUUCAGAAGUCAAUAUUUAAAAACUUGGUGAAAUUACCGAUUAAAAUGUCCCUACUGUGAGGAAGGAUGCUAUACAACUGACUCGGAAAAUGUAAAAUGGAUAACGUACGCCCAAGAUGAUCAACUAGAAACACAAUUCAAAACUCGGGCUGCUUUUGGCUGCCCGGCCUUCAGAAGUCAAUAUUUAAAAACUUGGUGAAAUUACCGAUUAAAAUGUCCCUACUGUGAGGAAGGAUGCUAUACAACUGACUCGGAAAAUGUAAAAUGGAUAACGUACGCCCAAGAUGAUCAACUAGAAACACAAUUCAAAACUCGGGCUGCUUUUGGCUGCCCGGCCUUCAGAAGUCAAUAUUUAAAAACUUGGUGAAAUUACCGAUUAAAAUGUCCCUACUGUGAGGAAGGAUGCUAUACAACUGACUCGGAAAAUGUAAAAUGGAUAACGUACGCCCAAGAUGAUCAACUAGAAACACAAUUCAAAACUCGGGCUGCUUUUGGCUGCCCGGCCUUCAGAAGUCAAUAUUUAUAUGAACUUUUGAGGAGAAAUUAUAUGAACUUUUGAGGAGAAAUUAUACUAAGGGUUCAGAAGUCAAUAUUUAUAUGAACUUCAGAAGUCAAUAUUUGGCUGCCCGGCCUUCAGAAGUCAAUAUUUAAAAACUUGGUGAAAUUACCGAUUAAAAUGUCCCUACUGUGAGGAAGGAUGCUAUACAACUGACUCGGAAAAUGUAAAAUGGAUAACGUACGCCCAAGAUGAUCAACUAGAAACACAAUUCAAAACUCGGGCUGCUUUUGGCUGCCCGGCCUUCAGAAGUCAAUAUUUAAAAACUUGGUGAAAUUACCGAUUAAAAUGUCCCUACUGUGAGGAAGGAUGCUAUACAACUGACUCGGAAAAUGUAAAAUGGAUAACGUACGCCCAAGAUGAUCAACUAGAAACACAAUUCAAAACUCGGGCUGCUUUUGGCUGCCCGGCCUUCAGAAGUCAAUAUUUAAAAACUUGGUGAAAUUACCGAUUAAAAUGUCCCUACUGUGAGGAAGGAUGCUAUACAACUGACUCGGAAAAUGUAAAAUGGAUAACGUACGCCCAAGAUGAUCAACUAGAAACACAAUUCAAAACUCGGGCUGCUUUUGGCUGCCCGGCCUUCAGAAGUCAAUAUUUAUAUGAACUUUUGAGGAGAAAUUAUAUGAACUUUUGAGGAGAAAUUAUACUAAGGGUUCAGAAGUCAAUAUUUAUAUGAACUUCAGAAGUCAAUAUUUGGCUGCCCGGCCUUCAGAAGUCAAUAUUUAAAAACUUGGUGAAAUUACCGAUUAAAAUGUCCCUACUGUGAGGAAGGAUGCUAUACAACUGACUCGGAAAAUGUAAAAUGGAUAACGUACGCCCAAGAUGAUCAACUAGAAACACAAUUCAAAACUCGGGCUGCUUUUGGCUGCCCGGCCUUCAGAAGUCAAUAUUUAAAAACUUGGUGAAAUUACCGAUUAAAAUGUCCCUACUGUGAGGAAGGAUGCUAUACAACUGACUCGGAAAAUGUAAAAUGGAUAACGUACGCCCAAGAUGAUCAACUAGAAACACAAUUCAAAACUCGGGCUGCUUUUGGCUGCCCGGCCUUCAGAAGUCAAUAUUUAAAAACUUGGUGAAAUUACCGAUUAAAAUGUCCCUACUGUGAGGAAGGAUGCUAUACAACUGACUCGGAAAAUGUAAAAUGGAUAACGUACGCCCAAGAUGAUCAACUAGAAACACAAUUCAAAACUCGGGCUGCUUUUGGCUGCCCGGCCUUCAGAAGUCAAUAUUUAUAUGAACUUUUGAGGAGAAAUUAUAUGAACUUUUGAGGAGAAAUUAUACUAAGGGUUCAGAAGUCAAUAUUUAUAUGAACUUCAGAAGUCAAUAUUUGGCUGCCCGGCCUUCAGAAGUCAAUAUUUAAAAACUUGGUGAAAUUACCGAUUAAAAUGUCCCUACUGUGAGGAAGGAUGCUAUACAACUGACUCGGAAAAUGUAAAAUGGAUAACGUACGCCCAAGAUGAUCAACUAGAAACACAAUUCAAAACUCGGGCUGCUUUUGGCUGCCCGGCCUUCAGAAGUCAAUAUUUAAAAACUUGGUGAAAUUACCGAUUAAAAUGUCCCUACUGUGAGGAAGGAUGCUAUACAACUGACUCGGAAAAUGUAAAAUGGAUAACGUACGCCCAAGAUGAUCAACUAGAAACACAAUUCAAAACUCGGGCUGCUUUUGGCUGCCCGGCCUUCAGAAGUCAAUAUUUAAAAACUUGGUGAAAUUACCGAUUAAAAUGUCCCUACUGUGAGGAAGGAUGCUAUACAACUGACUCGGAAAAUGUAAAAUGGAUAACGUACGCCCAAGAUGAUCAACUAGAAACACAAUUCAAAACUCGGGCUGCUUUUGGCUGCCCGGCCUUCAGAAGUCAAUAUUUAUAUGAACUUUUGAGGAGAAAUUAUAUGAACUUUUGAGGAGAAAUUAUACUAAGGGUUCAGAAGUCAAUAUUUAUAUGAACUUCAGAAGUCAAUAUUUGGCUGCCCGGCCUUCAGAAGUCAAUAUUUAAAAACUUGGUGAAAUUACCGAUUAAAAUGUCCCUACUGUGAGGAAGGAUGCUAUACAACUGACUCGGAAAAUGUAAAAUGGAUAACGUACGCCCAAGAUGAUCAACUAGAAACACAAUUCAAAACUCGGGCUGCUUUUGGCUGCCCGGCCUUCAGAAGUCAAUAUUUAAAAACUUGGUGAAAUUACCGAUUAAAAUGUCCCUACUGUGAGGAAGGAUGCUAUACAACUGACUCGGAAAAUGUAAAAUGGAUAACGUACGCCCAAGAUGAUCAACUAGAAACACAAUUCAAAACUCGGGCUGCUUUUGGCUGCCCGGCCUUCAGAAGUCAAUAUUUAAAAACUUGGUGAAAUUACCGAUUAAAAUGUCCCUACUGUGAGGAAGGAUGCUAUACAACUGACUCGGAAAAUGUAAAAUGGAUAACGUACGCCCAAGAUGAUCAACUAGAAACACAAUUCAAAACUCGGGCUGCUUUUGGCUGCCCGGCCUUCAGAAGUCAAUAUUUAUAUGAACUUUUGAGGAGAAAUUAUAUGAACUUUUGAGGAGAAAUUAUACUAAGGGUUCAGAAGUCAAUAUUUAUAUGAACUUCAGAAGUCAAUAUUUGGCUGCCCGGCCUUCAGAAGUCAAUAUUUAAAAACUUGGUGAAAUUACCGAUUAAAAUGUCCCUACUGUGAGGAAGGAUGCUAUACAACUGACUCGGAAAAUGUAAAAUGGAUAACGUACGCCCAAGAUGAUCAACUAGAAACACAAUUCAAAACUCGGGCUGCUUUUGGCUGCCCGGCCUUCAGAAGUCAAUAUUUAAAAACUUGGUGAAAUUACCGAUUAAAAUGUCCCUACUGUGAGGAAGGAUGCUAUACAACUGACUCGGAAAAUGUAAAAUGGAUAACGUACGCCCAAGAUGAUCAACUAGAAACACAAUUCAAAACUCGGGCUGCUUUUGGCUGCCCGGCCUUCAGAAGUCAAUAUUUAAAAACUUGGUGAAAUUACCGAUUAAAAUGUCCCUACUGUGAGGAAGGAUGCUAUACAACUGACUCGGAAAAUGUAAAAUGGAUAACGUACGCCCAAGAUGAUCAACUAGAAACACAAUUCAAAACUCGGGCUGCUUUUGGCUGCCCGGCCUUCAGAAGUCAAUAUUUAUAUGAACUUUUGAGGAGAAAUUAUAUGAACUUUUGAGGAGAAAUUAUACUAAGGGUUCAGAAGUCAAUAUUUAUAUGAACUUCAGAAGUCAAUAUUUGGCUGCCCGGCCUUCAGAAGUCAAUAUUUAAAAACUUGGUGAAAUUACCGAUUAAAAUGUCCCUACUGUGAGGAAGGAUGCUAUACAACUGACUCGGAAAAUGUAAAAUGGAUAACGUACGCCCAAGAUGAUCAACUAGAAACACAAUUCAAAACUCGGGCUGCUUUUGGCUGCCCGGCCUUCAGAAGUCAAUAUUUAAAAACUUGGUGAAAUUACCGAUUAAAAUGUCCCUACUGUGAGGAAGGAUGCUAUACAACUGACUCGGAAAAUGUAAAAUGGAUAACGUACGCCCAAGAUGAUCAACUAGAAACACAAUUCAAAACUCGGGCUGCUUUUGGCUGCCCGGCCUUCAGAAGUCAAUAUUUAAAAACUUGGUGAAAUUACCGAUUAAAAUGUCCCUACUGUGAGGAAGGAUGCUAUACAACUGACUCGGAAAAUGUAAAAUGGAUAACGUACGCCCAAGAUGAUCAACUAGAAACACAAUUCAAAACUCGGGCUGCUUUUGGCUGCCCGGCCUUCAGAAGUCAAUAUUUAUAUGAACUUUUGAGGAGAAAUUAUAUGAACUUUUGAGGAGAAAUUAUACUAAGGGUUCAGAAGUCAAUAUUUAUAUGAACUUCAGAAGUCAAUAUUUGGCUGCCCGGCCUUCAGAAGUCAAUAUUUAAAAACUUGGUGAAAUUACCGAUUAAAAUGUCCCUACUGUGAGGAAGGAUGCUAUACAACUGACUCGGAAAAUGUAAAAUGGAUAACGUACGCCCAAGAUGAUCAACUAGAAACACAAUUCAAAACUCGGGCUGCUUUUGGCUGCCCGGCCUUCAGAAGUCAAUAUUUAUAUGAACUUUUGAGGAGAAAUUAUAUGAACUUUUGAGGAGAAAUUAUACUAAGGGUUCAGAAGUCAAUAUUUAUAUGAACUUCAGAAGUCAAUAUUUGGCUGCCCGGCCUUCAGAAGUCAAUAUUUAAAAACUUGGUGAAAUUACCGAUUAAAAUGUCCCUACUGUGAGGAAGGAUGCUAUACAACUGACUCGGAAAAUGUAAAAUGGAUAACGUACGCCCAAGAUGAUCAACCAGAAAGUGAGAGAUUAGGAUCACCAGUCAGUCAGAUUUGGAUAGAAAGUGAGAGAUUGCUAUGCCGUGCCAUUGCUUCAAUCCUAAAUGCUUUCAUCUCCCUGAAAAGUAUACAAAUGUAGGGGUUAAAACAGAAUAGAUGAAACCGUAUUGAGGAACUCAACUGAGACAGAUGAUAAAUGAAAACUAACCAACCUUCACGCAAAACUCGUACAUCUCCCUUUAAGAGCUGACUUUCUGAGAAGAGAUCACCACAAUCGUUCACAUCAAAAGUCUCCACUUGAAAAUUUUAUAACCAUAGUACUCAUUCCAUUCAAACCAGAUCCUUGAGAUCAGUUCCUUCUUCAGGCAAGUGGCAUGAUCUUCCUCUUUAGGAGACUCAGCAGCAACCAGUCUAUAUGCACAAACUUUCUUUGUUUGGCCUGGCCGGAAAGCCCUGCUGAUUGCCUGGCGGCUCACUGAUGGAUUAAAGAGAACAUCCAGAAUAAUGAUUCAAAUUUUUGUGGAAUUACUUGUAAAGAAUGAAAUUGGUUUAAACUCGAUUCCACAAUUCAAGAGACAAAACUAAGCAGACGGGUUGAAUCUUUGAUUUAGUAGCAUGUCUCUUCUGCUUUAAAAGCAGAUCUGGAGAAUCCCAUUCUUAUUACAACGUGUGAAGGAGUGUUGUGUAUUGUUGGCAUGUUCCCAGGUUCUGUUCAUGGAUUCUGUUUGCAGACAUGGCCGACUCUUUGUUUCAUCGGAUAAGUUUCAAAUAAUUCUGGCAAAUUUUUGUUGUAAAAUUACUUUUUUAUCAUUUAAUCCAUAUGCCUCUUUCUCAUUACCUGCAAGUGCAAAAUUUUUAGGCUCGUCCUAUUAGACCUCUUUUUCUUCUCUAAAUAGAUAAAAUGGCAUUUCAUUUUUCUCUUGCGAGGGUGCAGGUUUAUGCUGAAACUUUCGGUUAGUUAAAUUGAUUGUCUUUGAUAUUGGAACUUGUAGUUGAACUAGUUUGCAUUUAGAAUAUAUGAGAUUACCAACUGUAACGGGAAUUGGUGCCGAAUUGAUUAUGUUAUCAGGUUUUUCAGUCUGUGCUCAUCUUUUAUUUCUGUUAAUAAUUAAUAGCACAGCUUGUCUUCUCUGCUUCUUUGGUUCCUGUCUAUUGUCAAAUAUAAACUUGUAGAGACAUUUUGUUUUGGCAUGGCACAUGCUAGAUUUUGUUUUUGGUUUGAAUGAUACUACACAUCUAAGUGAUUGUCCAGAUUUUUUUUCAUUCCUAGUGACAUGGCACUCAAUUGAAUGGUGACUCGUGAAUCAUGAUUGUGUGUGUUGGUCUUUGUUAUACUACGUGUUGGCAAGACAAAGUCUUUUGAAACUGCCAAACUUUUCUAUAUGAAUAUUGAAGACAAUAUGAUAAGAUAAAAUUAAUCAAAAACAUAUAUACUUGACAGGGCUGGAACGUCUGUUAUUAGUCCUCGCCUUCCAUUCUUGUUUCAUAUUCUUCUGCUAACAAAUCUUGAUCAUGAUAGUCUUCUCUGUUAUUAAUCCUUUUUUUUUUUUUUUUGGCUUUUGGAUUUUGUUUCCUUUAUAUAUAUAUAUAUAUAUAUAUAUAUAUAUUGUAUACAGUUAUUAGCAUCGACAACUUGAGCUUGCAGUCUUGUGAGUUUAGAGCCUACCAAAGUAAGCAUACACAUGACAAUGAAGAAUUGAAGAUUGUGAACGGUUUACUUGUGCGGCUAUGUUAGAAAAAUUUGACUGAUCGUGAAGAUAUUGAGAGAUCGUCCAUCUUGGUACUGCUAUUGUUGGAGCCUUGAAGUGUCAACUUCUCAUCGUUGCCUACAGUUGCCUCAUUGAUGAAUUGCGUAAAAUAGGCAAACUGAAAAUUGCUUGGGAACUGUUUCAAAGUUUGCCCCGUACAGGCCUAAUGCAAAAUGUUGUAACAUAUAACAUCAUGAUUCAUGGGCUUUGUGAUGAUGGGGCAAAUGGAUAAGACACAUGAUUUAUUUCUUGAUAGACCAUUCUCAGGGCACAAAGGGUGUGGUGCCCAAUUGUGCCAUAUUUACUAUGCUUAUGCGAAAGAAUGAGACAUCAAAAUUUUCAUCACUCAAUGGAUAUAAGAAAUGUAAUGCCAGCUGCAUCUAUAGUUUCAAUUGGUGUGCGCUUACUGGUUAAGAAUGAAAUUAGUUUAAACUUGAUGCCAGAAUUCAAGAGACGGUUAAUUAGAUGAGUUGAAUGUUGAUUUAGUAGCCUUGAAGUUUUGCAAAUGUUUCCUGAUGGAUAAAUUGAACUUGUAUGCACACAUGUAAACUAAAAGAAAAAUUAUUUUAAUAGAAAACGUGCUUUAAGCAUGUCCUUCGGCAUGAGGUAAUACUAUAAAGUUUUUUUUUAAGUAAGGUUAUAAAUUCUAGCAAUUGAGUCUCAAUUUGAUAUUAUAUUCAUCUGGUAUAGGGUAGAAUAUUAAUUUUUUCAAUUAUAAAAUUUACUAUCUAAUAGAUGAACAACACUUAACAGUUGAGAAUGAAAUGGAGACUCAAUUGUUGGGAGUCCAAUCACUUUUUUCUCUUUUAACUUGCUAUUUUUGUUGUCCGAAAUUAUCUGAAGUUCCAUGCUUGCUCCAAUAGAACAAAUAAGAUAGGUUAUGAUCAACUUUUUUUUUUUCCAAAUAAAGGAACCACCUGCAUCGAUACUCCAUAAGCAAGUUUUUUCUUUUGACUGCCCCUUAUAUUUGUCACACUCCUUGUACUAGUGCCCAAUGAAACCACAACAGAAGCAAAAAUAUGGCAAUCUCUCAUAUACUACUGUAAUUGGAACAUCGUCUUCACCUUCAAGUUCUAAAUAAAUAAUUUUCUUUAGUGGUUGUGUGAUAUCAAUUGAGAUACUUACUCUGGCAUACUAACCAAUGCACUCUCCUUCCACGUCCACAUCAACUUCUUCAACUAUACCAAUUGCCUCUCCCAAUGCUUUGAUUAUUUGCUGGUCUAUACACCCAACUGGGACAUUAUGAAGUUGUACCCAAAGGCAGCAUGAGUAAAUGAUUGUUUUGUUAUUUCCCCAAUUCCACUUGCCUCUUUUAGAACUAUUAGAGCUCGUUCAAAAUGCCACUGCCCACUUGAUAAAAUUCUCAUCUUAUCAACUUCAAAGGCAAAUUUAACUUAAAAAUCUUACUCCCCAGAUUUUCAAUUUCACCUAUUCUACUAUUCUGCAUACUUGUUGUAAUGCUCACUUGAGACCCUCUCUAGUAACUCCUCUUAGAUGUAAGACUUUGCCCAGCAAACAGCCCUCAACUAGCUCUCUCUCAUUCCCUUUCAUGACAUUACCAACAACUUCUUUACUCUAUUUUCCUUCUUCUAAUAUAAUAACUUUACACUUGCAAAUUAGUUCUUCUGUUUUCAUUAGGCACUAAAAUAUAAAUCCAUUGUGAUAACUCUUGAGUAUCUACCACUUCCUCUGUAAUUAAGACUCAACAACUCAAAUGAAAAACUUAAAAGUAAAAGAGACACCCAACUCGUGAGCAACUUUCGCAAUCUUAUGGGCUACUACCAUUUCAUUCUAGAUUCUCGCUCAUAGAGGGAGAACCUGUGAAGAAAGACUUCUACAGGUAGGAGACCGCUUACACAGUAGAUUAUUUAUAUUUCUUUGGACUAACUUUUUACUUUAUCAAAGACAAAAACAACAUAAACAAAGACAGAAGAUUAACAAAAGCAUCAAUUGCCAAAGAGUAGAGAGUAUUAUUAUAUUUUAGGAACAUAGGUUAUGACCAACUUAAAAGAAGCAGUUAGGGCUUGUUCAGUACUGUUUUAAAAGCCUUAUUUUCAUUUUUGUUUUGGGAGUACAAAUAUAAUACAUAUUUAGUGGGUUGAAUCCAAAAAUUAAAUCAUAAAAAAGAAUUGAUAUUCACUUUUACAGUUAUAAAAUUAAGAACCUAUUGAACAUGUUCUCAAACAAAUUACAAAUUAAAUUAAAACAUAAACCCCAAAAUAAAAUCUAAAAAGUUAUCUUCCUCUCCUAAAAUCUUAUCUCCUCCCUCUCGUUAUCUCUUCACAACUCUUCCUUCUUCAUGGUAGAUACUUCUCCUCUAACCACAACCCACCUGAAUUGUGCACCGAUCUCUCUCUCCCCAUCCCCUUUAUCUAGGUCUACUUCACAGUUCUCUUCCUCUCAGUGGCUGUUACUUGUUCAUCAACCGCAAUCCAUCGUCGUAAGGUACUACGUCGGAAUAUUUUACCAAAAACAUGUCAAGACAAAGUGAUGUCUAUCAUGGUUUAUUACUGCAAGUGCAUUAUUUUCUUUGUACUAAAGUGAAUCUUUGAUGUAUUUAUUAAAUUUGGUGGAGCAAUCUUAGUUAAUUUUGAUGAUUUAUAUAUGCAUUUAAUUUCAUUUUUAAUAAUUCAUGUGCAGGAAAUAUGGAUUCUUGGCUUUGCUUGGACUGAUGGUUUGGGCAAUUUCAUUUGGAAUCAAUCAACUUCGAGGAUAAACACUUGUAGUUCAUCCUUUGUUCUCUAAUUUUGUUCAUGGGACUUGCUUUUCUUCCAUCCAACUUUUUUGUUCUCUAUUUCUAUGGUAGCAGUUUUAUGUUUUGUGUUGGUGGGAAACUUCAUGCUGCAAUUUUGUCAAAUUCUGUUGACAUACCCUAAUCAGUAAUGACUUUGCUGCAUGGCGAAAGCAUAAGCUCAUAGUUGACAUUGUUGUCAUUAGAGCUUGUUUCCAUAAAAAAAAAGUGUAAUUUGAAAGUACAUUGUACACUAUUGAAUUUGAAUUAUCUCCAACAAGUGUUGAUGCAUGAUGUCCAUCAUGUAAUUUUUUUAUAAUCAUUUUGUUUAACUUAUAUGUGUUGUAAUAUAUAGCUUAAUUAUAGUGUAAAAACAAUGGCAAUGUAAUUUUUUUAUUAAUGCUAAUACUAAAACUUUAUCAUCAUGCAAUGUUUUAUAAUUAUUUUGAUUAAAUUAUUUAUGGUAUAUUUUUGUAUUAAUUAAAUAAACAAUUAGUUUUUAUUAAAAAAAUUAUGACUUAUAUGUUUAGUAAAAAUUGUUCAUGAAAAUAGUAUUACCGAACACAUUUUCUCUGUGUUUAUCUUUUUCAAUUGUGUUUACGGAACACAUGUUACUGUUUUCAAUUUAGAAAAUACAAGAGAUAGAAAAUGAUAUCAGAUGUCUAUUUAAUUCAAAAUGCAGCAACUGCAAAACACUAUUUUUACUCUCAUUUUUCUUUUUAGAAAAUACUAAUUUAGAAACAAUACCAAACAAGAACUUAGUUUUAGUACGAAUAAUGUUGUGUUAGUUUUAUAGGUUUACAUGCACCCUUAGAUUUAUUAGAAGUAUCAGCCCAACCCCCUAGUUACUGUUGACUAAUAUCGAACCCGCUGCCCGAUGUUGACUCUUGAAAGUAACUAUAACAUCUAUAUUGUAAUCUCACUUUAUUAACUAAUAAAUUUUAAAAAUAUAAACAGAUCAAUAAUAACAAAAUAAUUAAAGUUGAAAUCCAAGAAAUUACACAAAAAACCACACCUAAACCAAACCUGAAAACCAAAAUGCAUAAAAUUUCAUUAAUUUAGGUUGUGACAAUGAGUCGUCUACAUUAUAUGAUGAAGGAACAAUUUCUAUCAUUUUACCAAGUUAUUAAUACUAUGUUUACGUACUAGAGUGGGCCUGAGAAGUAUAGAUUCCUCACACACUAGAGUUUACUUGCAUAUUCUAAGAGGUGUGGGAAUCUCACUCCGUUGAUCCCACCCAAUUUUGAAGUAGGGAGUGUGAUUUCCACUCCCACAAGGGAAGGUCCACUCCCACAACUUUAUUUUUUACCUUUCUUUUAUUAAAUUUAAUACAAUCAUAUUUAGUAAAAUAAAACAAAUAACAUCAUAUUUAUUUAAUAAAUAUUAUUAUAUUAUUUUAUAAAAUUCUAUUUAUUAAAAAGAAUAAUAUUAAUCUUAUUUAGAUAAAAUUAUUAUUAUAUUUAUUUAAAAAUAAUAGCAUUAUAUUUAUUUAAUAUUAAUAAUUAAUAUUAAUAAAUAGUUUAUUCUAAGAAAAUAUUUAUUUUGCACUAUAUUAUUAAUAAGAGAUAUUAUCAUUUUUCCACCAAAAUUAUUCUGAUACAUCAUGUUAGUAGCACGGUUUGGUAAAAACAUCAUUUUACCACCAAACGUUUAAAUUGUUAGUAUUUUUCCACAAUUCCGUUAAAACUCAGUUAAUAUUUAAUGAAAAAUGCAUAAAAAGUCAAUUUUACCCCUGGAGCAUAAAAGAUAAUUUUACCCUUUAAAAAGGAAGAACGACAAAAGAUGAUUUAAUUACAAAAUUACCCCCAAAAGACGACAAGACAAUUUUACCCUUUAAAAAGGGAGAACAACAAAAGACGAUUUAAUUACAAAAUUACCCCCAAAAGACGACACUGCUGCGAGAGUGAGAGAGAUAUGGGUCAGUGACAGUAAGCGAGAGAGGACGGAGAUGGAACAAGAAACGAGAGAGAGGGGGGUUGAUUUCGAUUUUUAGGGCUUCCAUAUCCAAAUUGCUUGUUUUUUUACAAUUGCAAAACACAACGUUUUGCCUUCGCAUGAGAUGUCCAAAAUGCCCUUAUGAUGUCAACAUAAUUUUUAUUUAGUUAACGGAAUGGUGGGAAAAUACUAACAAUAUAAAUGUUUGGUGGUAAAAUGAUGUUUUUAUAAAAUCGUAGUACUGAAAUGAUGUAUCAGAAUAACUUUGGUGGGAAAAUGAUAAUAUCCCUAUUAAUAAUAAUGUUUUAUUUGUGUUGCUCUUAUCAAUAAUUUUUAAUUUAAAUAAUUAAAAUUAAAACUAAUAAAAAUUUAUGAUUUACAUAAUUAAUAAUAUUAAUAAUUAUUGUUAAUUUACAAAUAUAGUGAAAUAAUAUAUUUUAUUUCAAAUAUAUUUUUUUAUUAAUUUUGUAAUUAAAAGGUACAAUUCUUUAAAUAAGUGUAAAACCGUAAUUUGAAACCAUUUACUCCCUUCUCAUUCUAGUGAGAGGAAACAACUUGCUCCCACUCCACACUCUUAAUCACAAGAUUCUCACUUCUCAAUAUUCCCACUAUAAUUUAAAAUGUAAACACCGUUUAAAACAUCAAAUAAAAUUCUCAAUUAAGUAAACCAUAAUGUGAUUGCAUAUAAAAAAAAAUUAAUAAUAUUAAUUUUCAUAAGAAUUUAUGCUCGUAGUAUUACUUUACUUUUUAUUAACCGUUGCUUCAACUUAUGGUAGAUUGUAACAUAUGCACUUUAAUUUUCUUAAUUAAGUGUAUUAUUUAAUUUUUCUCAUUCGAUGUUAAUUUUAAAUUUGUUUUGACAUAAAAUUGAGACAAUUCGAAUACGAUUCAAUGGCCGUGUAGCUGGAUUUUAUUUCAACAUGGGUCAGGCAUUAGCUUAGUUAGUAGUAAUCUUUAAAAAAAAAAAGCUAGUUUAUAUAAAUGGAAAAGGGGGAGCUGAUUUCCAAAAGAGGAAAGAAAGAGGGGCACGCGAGAGAAAAGGAGAGAGAGAGAGAGAGAAGUUGACCCGUUUAGCCCGACCCGACCCGACCCACAAGACCGACCCGGCUCCAACUCCCGUUUCUGGCCACCAUUCCAAUCAAGCUUGGUACCAAUCUGAAGCUUGAGCGACGCUGGCCAUAUCCCCGCUGUCAUCGUCACCGAAAAACAGCCACAACGCCGGUGAUCAUCGUCAAUCUCGCUGGAAUUAGGUUGCACCACCGGCUGGGUUCGACUCCUCACAUCACCAGCUUUCAUUUCCGACUAACCCCGCCACCUGAAACCUUUGUUUUGGCCCUGAAUGACCACCGGAAAGCUCACGGCUUUGGGAGCACGAUCCGCCGCCAUCUCCGCGUGUGGGAGGUCACCGUCGACGCCAUUGGGCUCACCGAGGUCAGAACUAUCAUACUUGAGCUUUCCGUCGCCGUUGACUGAAGUCCGGUCACCGUUGAGCAGUGGGGGCAAUUUGGUAAUUUCACAAGACUUUAAGGUGGAUUUUUAAUUUGGUAAUUUUAGGUUAGGGCAAUGAGGUAAUUUAAGACUUUGAGGGUAAUUCGGUAAUUUAAGUUAUUAAGAGCAUUUUGGUAAUUUCGCACUUUGAGGGUAAUUUCUUAAAUUCAAAACUUGUGAUUAAUUUUGUUAUCCGAAUUGAGGACAAUUUGGUAGUUUAAGAUAUUGAAGAUGAUUCGAUAAAUUAUGAUUCCGAUGGUACUUCGGUAAAUUUCGGUGUCAGGGGCAUUUUGGUAAUUUUUGGACAUAAGGGUAAUUUUGAAAUUUUAUGUAUCCGGGAGUUUGGUUUUGAGCUUUAUUUCAUACUGUUAGUCGUAUUUCAUGAUACAGAUAAUAAUUAUGUCGUUUAUUUAAUUAGGAGGACUCGCGAGCAAAAAUCAACCAGCGGACGUUACAUACUGUUAGUCGUAUUUCAUGAUACAGAUAAUAAUUAUGUUGUUUAUUUAAUUAGGAGGACUCGCGAGCAAAAAUCAACCAGCGGACGUUAGUGAUACCGAGUCUGGACAUCGUCACUGUGACUGGAAUAUACAAAACUUAUUUUCAUGGUAUAUUCUGAUUUUACCAUACAGUACAACAUGUUUUGAUAAUAAGUAUUUGAUGCUUUGAUUUAAUGAUUUUCUAGAAAUUUGAUUUUCAUUCUACGUGCUGAUAUUUAUUAUUAUUGAAAAUGAGUUUGAUUAAUGAUUUUAUUAUCAUUUUUUUUGAGUAAAUGCAUGAUAUUAGAAUUGAGUGGAUUUGAGAUAUGUUGAAUAAAAAGGAAAUGGGAUUUUAUAUGUGAUUAUAUGUUUGCGUGCAUGUGCAUAAAAGAUUGUUUGGAAAAUCAUUGGAAGUACCUUUCCCCUUUUAGAUACAGAGAUACAUAUAAUAUGAGAUGAAUACAGUGAUACAGAUGAUAUGAGAUGAGAGGUUUUUGGGGCCCGUCUGAACACACACAAAGACUUUGGGCCGUGUGUUUGGGCGCUUUUUCCUUUUGGGGGCUUAUGCAUACAGUAUGAUGAUUACAUAAAUACAGAUGUUGAGAUACAUGAGAUAUGAGAUGACAUUUUCCUAUAUAUCCAUUGUAACUCCAGGGCAUGAUGGUUCCCUGAUUGUCCGUCCGUCGAGGUCCGAAUAUGAUGAGAUUAUUCCGCUGGAUACUUGUUUGAUGAUAGUUUUUUGUAUCUAGUAUUUGAUAUUAUAAGUAUUAUGAUUUCAUUGAUUUUAUGCAGAUUUAUGUAAUAUUGUUAUUUCAGUGCAUGAAUUAAAUUAAAUAAGUUUAUGUAAGUUCUUAUGAUAUUUUGAUGAAAUUAACUUGGAAAAGAUUAAAUCAUUUUAAAUAAAUUUAUUUUUCCAAAAACUACUAUCCACUCACUGAGCUCACUGAGUUUUAUACUCACCCCGUUUUUAUUAUAUUUUUCCUCCUAUAGGAAAUUUGCAGGUACAUCAGUCGACCCAGCAACGAUAGUUAGAUUGAAAUUAUGGCCACGUGAUGGUGUUAGAAAUCAUAGAUGUUUUGUUGGGACAUGUUGAAUUGUAUAAUUUAUUACUUAUUUGUGAUUAAGGAUAAAUCAUUAUAUUCUUGACAUUAUAUGAUUGAAGGAUACUGAUAUUUAAAUUGAGGAAGUUGGUUGUGGAUGUUGAUUAAAUAUUGUAUUAUUUUUGGGAGUAUUAAUUGUAUAAAUUGUAGGUUUGGGGAUGUCAUAAUUAUAUAGAAAACUGUCGAAUUUUUUGUAAAAUUCUUAGAUAUCAGAAUUAUUAUUAGUUUGAUUAGGCGAGAUUAGAUAGACUCGUCCUGGGGAUUCGGGGCGGGUCGUUUCAUAGAUAUUAAGAGAACAAUAAUAAUAUAGCUAUAAAUGGUUGCAUACUAUCAAUCAACUUAACACUAUAAUUACCAACAAAUCCUUAAUACUAUAAAUAAUUAAAUUAUUGGGGUUUUAAAAUAACUCUCCAAACUUUGCAUGAUUUCUUUAUAUGUAGGUGCCAUGGUUCCUAUAAGUAAUAUCAGCCACACUUUUUGUUAUUGUUAAAACAAAUUUAUAAGUACAAUUUGUGAAUUUGUACAAAAUGUGGUAUUAUACAUUUGAAGCAUGAACCGAGAAGACAAUGUUGUGUCACUAAUAAAGAAAAAAAAAUUGUAUAAACUACAGAUGUUGUAGUGUAACUUGUAUUCUUUUUAUUUAUAAUUGUACCUAUCAUGUGAUUAUAAAAAAAACUGAGAUUUUAAAAUUUUGUAAUUGCACUAUUUUUGGAUUAUCAGAAGGCUUCCUCUCCUUAGUGAUGCCCUUAAUCCAUAAAUGGUCCAAAAAAUAAUUCAUGAAAUGAAUUUAUUAUUUUAGAUAAGUUUCAAGUACGCAUACCUUUACUAGCUCCAUAUUGCAUAACUCCUCAUUUCAAUCAAUGGAUACAUUUGUUUACUUUUUCUUUCUUGUAAAUUUUUGAAUGGCCACAAUUCUAUAGAUAAUUAAUUAAGUGUUAUUGUUAUCAUUAUUUUGUAGAUUUAUAUGUGAGGUGGGGACGUUGGGGGGCAUGUAUCUCAAUAUAGCAGAGGGCCAUAAUAUUUAUUCUUUAAGAGGAACCACAACCAACAUCAAUGCUUUAAGUUCCAUUCCAUGUUCCUUCUAUGCACCAGAUUGCAUAAACAACAUUGAUUAUCCAAGGUCAAAGUCUCUCAAAGACUCUAGUUACAAUACAAAGCAUGGGUUAGCGGCCAAAAUUUUCUUGCAAUGAAAGGCUCGUAAACUGAUGAUAGCUGUUGGAUGGUUUUGGGCCCCAAUGGUUUUAAUAUUAUUCUCUUAAAAACAUAUAUGUUGAUUAGAGACGAGAGGAAAAAGAUAAUCUGAUUCAGCAAGCUGCAGAGGAAAGAGCACGCAGUGGAGUUCAGAUUUUGAAUUCUCUUGUUAAAUUGUUUUUAAUUUACUACAAGGUAGAAUACGUUGCAGUGUUAAAAAAACACUUUGAACAUCCUAUUUUUGUAUUACAAAUAUACCAAGAUUUAAAUUAUUAUUUUUCUUUAUUAGUAUAAACUAAAUUUUGCCUGAAUUCUCAUCCUUGUAAGUGGAAUUUUAUUGUGAAACUAAUAGUCAUUCCUAGUUGAACUAUCACUUUGAACAUAUGUGUCCUCUCUAAUAACAGCUUCCAAACCUGCAGCUACCUGCUUCUCAGCAUUAGAAGUAGCCAUAAUUAGGAGGAGGGCAAACUUCCAAAUAACAUUCCAAAUGGUAUUGUGAAAAAAUUUCACCCUUUUGGUAAUAAAAAAUAACCUUAUUUCUAACUUUCUAUUAACAAUCUUACCACAAAGUUCUCUCUCAAGUAGAAACAUUAUAUAUAUAUAUUAAUUUUUUGUUAAAAUAAACAAAACCAGUGGCGGAUCUACAGCUGGGCUAGGUCUAGAAAAAAUCAUUUAAACCCCUUGUCUUUUGAUUCAUUUUACAUAAGGAUAGACUUUUUAUUUUAUUUUUAUAUAAGUCCCCAAUUCAGUUACAAUUAUGUUUUUGUCAAAUUUCAUAGAAUAAUAGAGUUUUUACUUUAUUUUCAAAUAUUUCCUUAACUCAAUUAUAUUUUUUUCCCAACUGAAAUUAAUGACUUAUUUUAUAAAAUAAUUAAAUUAUAUAUUUAUUGAAUAGAUUGAAAACAUUAGGGGUUUAAAAUGUUAUUUUUAAUUUGUUUUUAAAAAAUUUAAUUUAACAAAGUAUGUGAAUGUAAUAUAACAUCGUCACUAUUAUUAAAAAUACUAAAAACAUAUAUAAUAAAAAUUAUUCAUAAAUUCAUAAAUUUUUUAUGUAAAUGUUAACAUUUUAUUUAUUAUUUACAUUAACUUAGAGGAUAAGUUAGAAAGUAAAAUUUGAGUAUUUUAAUCUGAUUUUUUAAAGAGAGUCAGAGUGUCUGGCAAAGAAAUAACAGCACGCAAGUACCUUUUUGCUAGGUUAGAGUUUAGUUUAUUAUUGAAACUCUUGACGACUAAUAUUUUUAUAAUUUAAAAAGAUGAAUAGAUUUUAAUUGUUUAAUUUAUUUAAGCUUGGUAACUAAGGUGGCAUUUGUUUUUUAACUUAAUGACUUAAAGUGACUUAACUUAAUUAAUUAAGUUAAUUAGAAGUGUUUGUUUUUAUAACUUAGACUUUUUAGAUAAUUUUGACUUAAUAAAAUAAGUCAAUUUUUUUGGCUUUUUACUUAAUGGAGAAAUUUGAAUUAAGUCAAUUACUUACUAAUGUCAAAAAUAUCCAUGUUUUAUAAUUUAUUUUUCAUAUCUAUCCCAAAACUCACCCAUAGAACAUUUACCCCACAUAAAAAUAUCCUUAUUUUUUAUUUCUUAUAUUAUAUACGAUAAAAUUUGAAAUUUAUGGUAUUUUAUACGAAUGUAAAAGUACAUAUUUUUAGCUUUUUCAGUUGAAAAAAACAAACAACUUAAUACUUAUUUUCCGAGAUUCAGACGAAAAAACAAACAUAUUAUUCAGAUUCAGACAUACAGAUCUAUUCAGAAUUCAGACUAAUUCAGGUCUAUUCAGAUUUCAGACAAAAAAACAAACGCCACCUAAGUAUUUUUCAAACAUAAAGUUGUACUUGCACUUUUUAAAUGAUUAUAAUUACAUUUAUUGACUUAUUCUAAUUUAAAAUUCUUAAUAGAUUUAUUAAUUCUUAUAUAAUUAGAUGUUAUUAUAGGUUGCAAUGUUAGAUUUAAUAAUUAAAAAUAGUAUUUUUAUAUUUGAAUUAUCUUUUGUUUUUUAGUAUUUUUGUACAAUUAUUUUUGUUUAGAGUAUAUAUUCGUAGAGUUUUUCGUGUCCCCAUUAUUUGAUGUACUUCUUUUUACUUAUGAAUAUUUAUGUUCACUUCAAAAUAUAAAAUUUUAAAUUUAGCCCGGGGUAAUAUAAAUUCUUAGGUCCGCCCCUAAGCAAAACUAAAUAUUUAUGACUUAAAAGAUAGGUGUUGAACAGAGGCAGUCUCACAGAAAAAAAAAAAAAGUAUUUGAAAGCAGUGGUGAUAUCAUAAUUUUUUGUAUUGAUACGAGAGUAUCAUACUAGAUUUUUUUCCGCAAUACAAAAAGUUUGUAUUCAAGAAUAAAUAAGCAAUUUCGGGAACAAAUUUUACAAAAAGCCUCGAGGCCAUGUCGUAUGAAUUUGUGAUACCAAAAAUAGUAUACUAGUCAGUAUAUCUUCUUUCCACAUUACAAAAAAUUAGAAAUGCAAUCUAAAUCGAUAUCAAUUAAUAAUUUUAUAGUACACGAAAUCAAGGUAUUUUUUCAUAAUUUAAGAAAUUAUUAGUCAUUUACCCUAAAUUUACUUUGUCUCCAAAAAUACUACGAAAACUUUAACUUGUUUAGUUUUUUACCUUAAUUUAUAAUUUAUAUCAAUCACUCACUAAAAAGAUAAAAUUAGCUCAUAAAAUGACAAAAUAAAAACAAACACAAAUGACAAUACCAGUAAUUUUAUAAGGAUAAUCAAGUCCUUUUGGCACCAAAUUACGUAUUAAAAUAAUUUAAAUAUUAUAAAUUAUUUUCAGAUUGAGUGAGGAACCCUGGUCAUUUUAACAAUUAUGGUCAUUUAAUCUAUCUAAACAUGAUAUUUCAAGUAGACUUAUGUUUGCGUGAGAGGAUAAUGUAAAAAAAGUGGCACUUUUAUUCAACUGAAUAAAUUUCACAAUUUAAAUUAGAAAAGGAUAAAAUUUAAUAAUUAACUAUUUUUUGAACUAAUUCAAUCGGGAGCCAUUAUUUGUAGGCUGUAGCGGUCCCAAAAGCAUGACAUUAUUGUGAGUAAUGUAUCCUACUUGCAAAAUAAACGGCAGAAUGCGGUUUGGGGACGGAUUAUCGAGGUAUUUGUUAAUAUUCGGAAAUGAGAAGAAAAGGUCAAAUAAAAUUUUAACUUAUUAUUAUUAUUAUUAAAGAUUGUAACUCAGAUGAUUAGACAAAUAAAGGAGCUAAAGGCCACUUGGCGGCUUCACUAGGAGCUGUUUGAGUUUAAUUCUAUUGGUAAAAUUCUAUUUUGGUAAUUCUAUUCUUCUUCUUUUCAACCCCAAAUAAUCAAAAGCUCUCCAAUGGCUUUCGUAUCCACAACUCGUCCAUUUCAUUUUACUUCAAUUUCAGUAUCAGCUCUUAGAUGUAAUUUCUCAUCUUCGUUCCCUCAUACCAGAAAACCCACAUCUUCAAUUUCGGAAAAUGAACCCUCAUAUCCGACCGCAACAGCUAAACUGAAGGAGUCGCUACGACUGACAGUCAAAGACGGAGCCUCACUCGAAAAAUUUCUUAAAGAAAGGUGCAAAUCAUCAGGUCAAGGUGAUAUUAAUCUUAUUACUCCUAAUGAAGCCUUGUGUAUCUUUGAUUACAUGCUCCGUAUGCACCCUUCUCCGCCUCCUGUCUCUUCCUUCAAUAUUUUGUUUGGUUGUCUUGCUAAGAAUAAACAUUAUGAUACUGUCCUUUCACUCUUCAAGAGACUCAAUUCAAUUGGGUUGUUUCCAGAUCUUUAUACUUAUAGUAUCUUGAUUAACUGCUUUUGCAAAAUGGGUCGAGUUUCUCCUGGUUUUGUUGUUCUUGGGAGAAUCCUCAGGUCUUGUUUUACUCCAAAUGCUGUGACCUUUACUUCUUUGAUUAAAGGUUUGUGUGCGGAGGGUAGAAUCAUGGAGGCCGCUGCAUUGUUUAUGAAACUUAGAGUGUUUGGUUGUGAGCCUAAUGUUUUUACAUACAAUACUUUGAUUAAUGGAUUGUGUCGAACUGGCCAUACAAUUGUUGCUCUAAAUUUAUUUGAAGAGAUGGCUAAUGGAAAUGGGGAAUUUGGUGUUGUUUGUAAGCCAAACACUGUUACAUACACUACUAUUAUCGAUGGUCUUUGUAAGGAAGGUUUUGUGGACAAGGCCAAGGAACUGUUUCUGAAGAUGAAGGAUGAGAAUAUUAACCCCAAUGUGGUUACUUAUAACUCUUUGAUUCACGGUUUUUGUUACGCUAAUGAUUGGAAUGAGGCGAAGUGUUUGUUUAUUGAGAUGAUGGACCAAGGGGUACAGCCGAAUGUUGUGUCUUUUAAUGUGAUCAUGAAUGAGCUUUGUAAAAAUGGGAAGAUGGACGAAGCAAGUAGGCUGUUAGAAUUGAUGAUUCAGAUUGGUGUGCGUCCAAAUGCUUUUGUCUAUAACACAUUAAUGGACGGGUUUUGUUUGACAGGUAGAGUUAAUCGUGCGAAGGAACUAUUUGUUUCUAUGGAGAGUAUGGGUUGCAAACAUAAUGUUUUUAGUUACAGUAUUUUGAUAAAUGGUUACUGCAAGAAUAAGGAAAUAGAGGGAGCGUUAAGCCUUUAUAGCGAAAUGCUCUCUAAAGGUAUUAAGCCAGAUGUUGUUAUAUAUAACACCUUGUUUAUUGGCCUUUUUGAAAUACACCAGGUUGAGCGUGCUUUCAAGCUGUUUGAUGAGAUGCAACGUCAUGGCGUGGCAGCUGAUACCUGGGCGUAUAGAACCUUUAUUGAUGGGCUCUGCAAGAAUGGUUAUAUUGUAGAGGCAGUUGAACUAUUUCGUACUUUGAGAAUUCUCAAGUAUGAACUUGAUAUUCGAGCCUACAACUGCCUCAUUGAUGGAUUAUGUAAAUCCGGCAGACUCAAAAUUGCAUGGGAACUAUUUCGUAGUUUGCCUCGUGGAGUCCUAAUAGCAGAUGUUGUAACAUAUAACAUCAUGAUCCACGCGCUUUGUGCUGAUGGAAAAAUGGACAAGGCACGUGAUUUGUUUCUGGAUAUGGAAGCAAAAGGUGUAGCACCCAAUUGUGUCACAUUUAACACGCUGAUGCUAAGUUGCAUCCGCAAUAAUGAGACAUCAAAAGUUGUUGAACUCCUUCACAGAAUGGAUGAGAGAAAUGUAAUACCAGAUGCAUCUACACUUUCAAUUGUUGUGGACUUACUUGUAAAGAAUGAAAUUAGCUUAAACUCGAUUCCACAAUUCAAGAGUCAAAGGUAAGUGAGUUUAAUAUUGAUUUAGUCGCAUGUUUUUUCUGCCUGAAAACCCCGAUCUGGAGGAUCCCAUUCUUAUUAACACAUGUAAAGGAGUGUUGUCUAAUGUUGGCAUGUUCCUAGGUUCUGUCCAUGGAUUCUGUUUGCGGACAUGGCUAACUUCUUGUCCAACAGAUAAGUUUUAAAGUCUUUCAACUUUAUGUUGUAAAAUAACAUUUUUAUUAUUCAAUUCAUGAGUUUUCCUUCUGUAUCACAUACUUCUCAUUAGCUGGAAGCGCAAAUUUUUUAGGCUUUUCCUGUAUGGCCUCUUUUUCUGCUCUAAAUAAAAUGGCAUUUUAUUUCUCUCUUGUGAGGGUACAAGGUUUAUGUUUAAACUUUCUGUUAGUUAAUUUGGUUGUCUUUGAUAUAGGGAACUUCCAGUUGAACUGAUUUGUAAUUCGAGUAUAUGAGAUUACCAACUGUAUUGGGAAUUGAUGCCAAAUUAAUUAUGUCAUCAGGUUUUUCAAUCAGUGUUCAUCAUUUAUUUCUGUUAACAAUUAAUAGCACAGCUUGACUUCUCAGCUUCAUUGGUUCCUCUCAAAAAUAAUCUUGUAAAGACAAUCUUUCUUGGGCAUGGAAAAUGCUAGAUUGUUACAUGGCAUUCAAUUGAAUGAGGACUCAUGAUUGUGUGUAUUGGUAUUUGUUAUACUAUGUAUUGGCAAGACAAAGUUUCUUGAAACUGACAAACUUUUCUCUAUGAAGAUUGAAGAAAAUAUGAUAAGAUAAAAUUUAUCAAAAGCAUAUAUGCUUGCCAGGGAUGGACCUUUGAUUAUUAGUCCUCGCCUUUCGUGCUUGUCUGUUCUGUGAAAUAAUUCAUUCUCCAUGCUGCUAGGGCCUAGGCUUAUGACUCUUCUUUGAAAUAAUUCAUUCUCCACAAUGUGAAAAAAAUGCUUGAAACACGACACAGACUUAACUGUUUACAGGAAAAGCGGCAGAAACUUGUGAAAUUACCGAUUAAAAAGUACCUACCAUGAGGAAGAUGCUAUACAACUCACUCGGAAAAUGUAAAAUGGUUAACAGACAUCCAAGAUGAUCAACCAGAAACACAAUUCAGAACAUGGGCUGCUUUUGGUUACCCGGCUUUCAGAUUAGGAGAUUAGGAUCCUAAAUGCUUUGAUCUACCUGAAAAGUAUACAAAUAUCAGAGUUAAAACAGAGCAGAUGAAAACGUAUUGAUGAACUCAACUGAGAUAAAUGACAAAAGAAAACUAACUUUUCCUGUACAAAACUCGCACACCUUCCUUUAAGAGCUGACUUUCCAAGAAGAGAUCACCACAAUCGUUCACAUCAACAGUCUCCACUUGAAAAUUUUUAUAACCACAAUAGUCAUUCCAUUCAAACCACAUCCUUGAGAUCAGUUCCUUCUUCAAGCAAGUAGGAUGGUCUUCCUCUUGAGGAGGCUCAGCAGCAACCAAUCUAUAUGCAUAAACUUUCUUUGUUUGGCCUGGCCGGAAAGGCCUGCCGAUUGCUUGGCGGGUUUCUGAUGGAGUAAAGGUAACAUCCAGAAUAAUGAUCCAAAUUUUUGUGGACUUACAUGCAAAGAAUGAAAUUGGUUUAAACUCGAUUCCACAAUUCAAGAGUUAAUGAGUUUAUCUUGAUUCUGUAGCAUGUCUCUUCUGCUUUAAAACCAGAUCUGGGGAAUCCCAUUCUCAUUACAACAUGUGAAGGAGUGUUUGUGUAUUGUUGGCAUGUUCCCAGGUUCUGUUCACGGAUUCUGUUUGCAGACAUGGCUAACUCCUCGUUUCAUCAGAUAAGUUUCAAAGUCUGGCAACUUUUUGUUGUAAAAAUAACUAUUUCAUUAUUCAAUUCAUGAGUUUUCCUUCUAUGGUGCAUCUUUCUCAUUAGCUGUAGUUUCAAAAUUUUUAGACUGAUUUGUAAUUCGAGUAUAUGAGAUUACCAACUGUAUUGGGAAUUGAUGCCAAAUUAAUUAUGUCAUCAGGUUUUUCAAUCAGUGUUCAUCAUUUAUUUCUGUUAACAAUUAAUAGCACAGCUUGUCUUCGCAGCUUCAUUGGUUCCUCUCAAAAAUAAUCUUGUAAAGACAAUUUUUGUUUUUUGGCAUGUUAAAUGCUAGAUUGUUUGUGUGUAUCGGUAUUUGUUAUACUAUGUAUUGGCAAGACAGUUUCUUGAAACUGACAAACUUUUCUCUAUGAAGAUUGAAGACAAUAUGAUAAGAUAAACUUUAACAAAAGCAUAGAUGCUUGCCAGCGCUGGACCUUUGAUUAAUAGUCCUCGCCUUUCGUUCUUGUUUCAUAUUCUUCUGCUAACAAAUCUUGAUCAUGAUUGUCUUCUCUUUUCUUUGCAACCCACAUAUAAAGUCUCGGCCAUAAGCCUCGAGGCCUAUUCUCUUUUGUAAAGGUGAGUUGAAGAAACUGCAAGGGACUCCAAAGCAAAUGGUGUAGAGCACCUUUCACUUAUCACGGGCACAGGAUUACUCUGACUUUCUGCAUUUUACUGUUGGCUAUGGUUUGAUGCAUUAUUUAUUGUUCUGAAAUACCAUUCUCGUUGGAAGUUCAAUCAUUACUGUUUCUUUUUUCCCCCCUUUUUACUUGAAGUUACCUGAAGCUCCAAUCGAACGAGUAAUGUAAUGUAGGUGUUGACCAACUCCAAAUAAGUAGUUAGUUGCCUAGUAGUUGCUUUGCAUGAAAUAUGUUUUUGGUAUGAAUAAUGUUGUCUUAAUUUUACAAGCUUCCAUGGAACUCCUAAUUUGUUGGAAGUAUUAACUCAACCCGUCAUUUAAGGUUAGAUUUAACCAUUGACUUAUGUUGACUAUUAAAAGUAUUAUAAUAUUCUAUAAAUAUAACGAAACCCCCCUUUAUUAACAAAUAUAAUUUAAAAUAUAAAAAAUUAAUAAUAAAAAAUAACAAAGUUGAAAUCCAAGGAGCAACUUCUAUCCCCUAACCAAGUUAUUAAAUAUUAGAGUAGAUAGAGGCAUAUACUUUUCUUCAUGAUUCAGAAUCAUAUCUCAAAUAAAAUUCUCAAUGAUUGCAGGCCUCAAUACCAUUAAGAUGAACUAGACUAUCAUGAAAUUUUGUGCAUCUUGCAAGGUCCAAUUUCUCCAAGUUUAUCAUCAAGCCAAAAAAUGUCAUAAUUCCUUUUAUAGUAAUUUCAUAGUGUUUACUAAACGGUAAUAGAAAUGGACUGAAACACAAAUAGGGAAUGCAAGUUAGAAUAAGGAUGGCAAUGGUGAGGGGGGAGGGGACCAACAUCCUUGUACCCAUCCCUGAUGUUCUGUAUAUGUCCCCAUCCCCUUCCCGUCCCCAUCAAAAUUACUUAAGGGAAUUCACGUCCUCCCUCUGAAUAAUAACAGGGAAUCCCCAAAGGUCCCCGAUCCCCAAAUAACUGAUAUAUUUGUUUAGUUUUCAAACUUAAUUUAAUCAUAUUAAGCUAAAAAUAUAUAAAAUAAAAUGAAAAUGAUCAUGAAUGCGCCUUAUAUUUCAUUCAACUCCUUCAAACUUUUGGUAUAUAUAAUAUUCAAAUAAUGAUUUUCAAAACAAAAUUCAAAUAAUGUGAUUUUUAUACAAUAUUGACGUGAUUGUUGUCCAUGAGUAACGAUACCUACUGAUCACCGACUAUGAUGCAACAAAGCCGCAUGUGUGGCUGCUAGUUGACAUUGCGAUGAGUUAGUGUAACCCCCACUUUUAUUUAUUUAUUUUUUUCCUCUUUUGCCCUUAUUAAACUGAGUAGGAUAGUUAUUAUUGAGUGUUUGUGUGUGAGUAAAAUUUAUCGGAUUGUUUUAAAUAAGUUACGUAAGUUAUUUUUUUAAAAAAAAAAUAUUUAUUAAUUACCAAGUAUUUAAGAGAAAACCAUAUUUUUAAGAAGCCGUUUUUUAUUUUUCUUACACCGUUACAAACCCUAGAAAGAAAAGAAAGAAAUAUAAGUCUUUGCAAAAGGAAAAGAAAGUUUUAUCACUUCUUUUCUUAGUGUUUGCUUUAAGGUAUUAAGUAUUUCUUCGACUUAUAUGAUUUAUUUUUAUGAAAUUGUUUGCAUUUAAUUACUUGUAGUAUGAAUUGGGUAAUAUAUGUGUUUGUAAUGUUGUGAUGAUAUGAACAGUCUCUAUUCCUUGCUUGAAAUCGUUUUCUUUAUUUAGAAUCACGUGAAUAUCUUACAUAUCAUGGAACUAGACAUCCUAGGCUUUCCAUUGAUAGGUUUUGUGUUGAAAUCGCCUGAGAAUGCAAAUUCUUAUGGGUUUUCGAAGUUGGGUUACUGGUGCUGGAAAAUUCCGAUUUUCAGCAGCGGUUCUCAACUCUGGAAAUUUUUCUAUAAGGUUACACAUCCUUAAAAAUUAUGCUGAUUUUUGUGCCAACAGAUCUAUGUCUCCUAUGCUUGCAUGUUUAAUUUCGUAGUUUUAUUCUUUAUGGUUGAAUUAUUAAAAAUCGUAACAUAUGGCUGCUGCAAAUCUGGAGACUGUUAUCCAGAAUUUCAGAAGCUGAAACGUGUAACAGUUGAGCUAGUUUAUGAAUAUUACAUGCCAUGUUAGGAUUUUAUAAUGAAAUUUCAAUCUUUCCUCUGUCUUUAAAAACUGGAAUCGCGAUUUUUGGGCAUGUAAAAUAAAAGAUACGAAUUUUUGAAAUUCUGUUUUCAAAUCUGGAAUUUUCUGGACGGGUUAGAUGUUCUCGGAAAUAAAACGUUUUAAAAUAGUCUCAGGAGUCCAAAAAUUAUGAAUUUUAAUUAUAUGCUUUUUGAAUGUGUCUUCUGUAAUUAGAAAAAAAGAUGCAUAUUACUUCGAGUACCAAAGAAUAUUUUAUGAAUUUUCUAAGUGGAAAAGGUCUGUUUUGGUCAGUGCUGGACAGUUUUGUUACUUUGGUGAAAGGUCAAUAUUCUGACUCGAUUUUGACUUGUGCUGAUUUUUGUGAAAUAUUGUAUGCAAUGCUAUGCAUGUUCACAGUGCCUCUGUAAAUUUUCAUGGUUUUCCGACAUGUGUAUAGGUUAUUAAAAAUCAUCAUGUGCAGGAUACUCAUAAGUAUAGGAUAUGUUUAGAAUAUGUAUAAGUAUUAAGCUAGUAUUAGUGUCUAUGAUUUAAGGAUGAUUGGGAUUAUAUUUAAGGUUAGAGAUGAUAUUGAUAAGAAUAUUUUUAUGAUGAUUAUAGGACGUGGGUGAGCUCGUUGGUUGUUCUUGAGGUAUUGAAUUGAUUGCUACGGAUCGAGGUAAGUAGAUUCAUGCAUAAUGUGCUUUAUAAUAAAUGCAAUUUAUGUUACAAAAAUUAUGUUUAAAUGGAAAUUUUUACAAAACUGAUUUCUAAAAUAUUUAAAUGAAUUUUGUAAAAUAAAAACACUUUUAAAUGAAUUUAUAUAAAUGAAUUUUAAAAUGAAUUUUUCUUAAGAAAUGAGUUUUCUUAAACAAAAUAUUUUCUUAAAGAAUUUUCUAAAAGAAUUAAAUGAUCAAAGAAAGGUUCUUAAAUGUUUUAGAAAACUUUAAAAGCUAUUUAUGAAAGGAUUUAAGGUGGAUUCAAAAUGUUUUGGCUUAUAGUCCGUAGUAAUGUAUACAAUGGAAAUGUUAUGAUGUUAUGUAAUAUUAUGGUCAGCUUGCUGGUACGAUGAUGGUCUUGUGCACAAGGAUGUUAUGAACAAUGUGGGACAUAGUACCCUAAAUGAGGAACAAUGCGGGGUAUAACACCCUAAAUGAUGAAUGAUGAUGAUUAUGAGGCAUGAGCUACCAAUGUUUACGCUUUAAUGUUUUCAUAAAUGUUUUAAUGUUUUUAUAUGAAUCCACCCCUUAUGUUAAAUGAAGAUGUUGUUAUAAAAUGUUUAAAGGUAUAUGACAAAGGUUUUCAAAUAUUGUGCAUGGAUUUGAUUACCGAGUUGACGGCUCACCCCUCGUCUCCAAUAUUUUACAGAUUGAUUAGAGAUAUGGCUUGGGUUCUUAGACGGAGAAUUUUUCUUAGUGGAUCUUUAGAGUUGUUUUAAAGAUUAAAUUUGGCUAGACUUCCUAUUUUGCAUUAGAGACUUUUCUUUGGAGACCUUAUUUCAUAUGUUUUAUGUAAGGAUUCAGUUGGAGUAUGAAUAAUGAUUGUUUAUCUUGAGAUUUAUUAAUAAGAAUAAAUGAUGUGAGGUUUCAUUCCAAUUUUACCCUUGUGUUUUCAUGAGUAAUUUUUGGGGUGUUACAGUUAGGCUACUCGGACACCGACAACGCAAUGUGCUACUGGGCUAUGAUGAGAUGAAGACGAGUUGCGUGCUUACUACUGCAUGAAUAAUUUGGAAAUUAUGAGCAAGACUGUGAGAAAGUGAUUUAGAGUUUGAUUUGUGAGUUAUGAGCUUGUGGGAUUGUGUGCUUUUGGUUGUAAUUAAGUCUAAAUUAUAUUAAACAUUUUAUAUUAACUAAUAUUUGUAUUAUUUGUAUAAAUAUUUUGAUAUUUGUUAUUUACACCAAUAUUUUAUAUUUUACAAUUUAAAAUUUAUUAUUUAUUGACUAAUAAUUCUAAAAAAAUAAAAAUAAAAUAAAAUAUUAAAAUAGGGAAAUGGGGAGGGGACGGGGAUUCCACCUCAUCCCCAUCCCUUCCCUGAAUAAGUAAUUGGGUAAAAAAUCGUCUUCGUCCCUUCCCCGAAUAAGAAGUUUGGCAUAAAAUCGUCCAUGUACCCUCCCCAAAUAGGAAAAAUCUCCAAGGGCCCCCAUCCCCAUGGGGAUUCCUGCCAUUUCUAAAUUAGAAUAAAUUAUUUACUUGAACUGUAGGAAUCAGAAUAAAAAUAAGCUGGAUUGUCAUUGAUGUGUCUAUUUUGUCUUGGAAUUGAAAUCAAAAUGAGUUACAUUUUAACAACUUACUAAAAAGUGCUUAAUGAGCUAUUGUCAUAAUUAUUAUUUUAUAUUUUAAUUAUGGUAAUUAUUUAUUCAAAAAUUAUAAUAAUUAUUAUUGUUAAUAAUAUAUUCAUAUAUUAAUUAAUUGAAAAUUAUUUAAAUUAAUUAAUUAUUAAUAUAUUAAUUGAUUAAUUAUAAUAAUACAUUAAUUAAUUAUAACUGAGGACAAAAUAAAUAUUUUUUAUUUUGUGAGGGGGCAAAAUGGUCAUUCCAAGGAAUGGGAGACUAAUUCCCGCCUCCCUUGGGAAUUAAUCUUCCAUUUGCCAUAAAAAAAAAAAAGCUUUCUAACAAGAUAUCAAAAUGGUUAAUAAGAAGAGCAGUAGUAAUGGGGUAAAAGCUCGUUUAGUCCCUAUAUUUUGAGGUUAGUACUUGUUUAGUCCCUAUAUUUUUAAAAAUGCUUCAAAACAUCUUUGUCGUUAAAUUAUUGACACCCCUGUCUUUACUUUGUAUUCCUUUUAGCUUACUUUUACAAUAUUACCAUUUUUGCAAUAUUGUUUAAUUUUUUGGACAUUAAUAAUAAAUAAAAUUACCAAUUUAACCCCAAAAAUAAAAUAAAGACAAAGAAAAUAUAUAUUAAUCUUUGUCGAAACUAUGUCAAAAAAAUAAAUAUUGUAAAAAAAAUUUAACUACUAAUUUUUUAGACAUUAAUAAAAAAAUUAAUAUAUUAAUUCCUCGUGGAGUAUUCAAAAAAAUUAAUAUAGAUUUUUUUUUUGUUUCUAUUUUACUUUUUUGGGUUAAAUUGAUAAUUUGAUUUUUCUUGUUAUUAAUGUGCAAUAAAGAAUAAAUAUUAUUGUACGGGGGUAAUAUUGUAAAAGUAAGUUAAAAAGAACAAAAAAUAACGGUAAGGGUGUCAAUAUUUAACGAUAAGGAUGUUUUAAGGCAUUUUUAAAAAUAUAGAGACUAAAUAGGUAUUAAUCUCAAAAUAUAAGGAUUAAACGAGAUUUUACCCUUAAUAAUGUUACGAGGGGGUUCAAAUGGAGGGGGAUGGGUAUUUCCAAAUUUGUAUCCAUUAAUUUUUUUAAAACUCAUAUCUGUCACUUGUUAUUAUUUUAAGGGAAAUUAUCAGUCAUAUACCUUAAGUUGACAAAACACUUCUACCGUCCACCAUUCCUUUAACUUCCAUUUGCAAGCGUUGACUUCAUAAGGGUAAUUUAGUCUUUUAAGACUGACGAAACUUUGAUAAAAAAAACGGCAUGUCAUCCCAUUUACCGAAUAAAAAAUGACAUGUCAUAUGAUAUAUAUUGAUAAAAAUAACAUGUCAUUCCACUUAUCGGUUAAUUGUUAAUAAUUGCUAAAAAAAACUAUUUUACAACUGAAUCUACUCCUCCAAAAUUUAACUUAAAUUUUUGAAGAUCUACUCCUCCAAGCUCCAACUUGAAAUUUUUAUGGUAUAAUAUGUAUAAUUGUAAAUAAUAUGUUGUUAAUAAUUUUUUAUGGUAUAAUAUGGAUAUUUUUUAUGGAUAAUUGUUAAUACUAUGUACCAUUAAUAAUUCAUUUUUUAAUCAAAAAAUGUAUUGGUAAUAACAAAAUAAAAAAAAUUAUGUAUUGAAAAUUUACGUUAAUUUUUGGGAUAAAUUUAUUUUUUUUACCUCAUUUUGAGUUUUAAGGGCAAAAUAGUCAAUUUACCACAAUUCUGUUAACUUUCUAACAGAAGUUAAUAGAAUGGUGGACGGCAGAAGUAUUUUGUCAACUUAGGGUAUACGAGUAAUACACUUGAAAAGUAUUCACACACGUUUGAUACGGGUAUCAUUUAAGGGUAUAUAGCUGAUAAUUUCCCUUAUUUUAAAUAUCAAACUUGUCAACCCUUAGGGGAAACAAGUAUUUAACGGACUUUGUGCGGCUAAUUCUCAUCAUUCGCUACUCUAAAUUUUAUUUUACAGAUUUGUGCAUCAUUUAUAACAUUUAAUUAAAUACACUUAAAUUAUAUAGAUUCAACGGUUCAACCUUCAUAUAUCACAUGAAAAGAAUACUGAAUUUUUAACAUCUCUCAUCAAGAGAUUGUACUGUGCUUACUCAAUUAGAUACUAAGGUGGCGUUUUUUUUUUAACUUAAUGACUUAAAGUGACUUAACUUAAUUAAUUAAGUUAAUUAGAGGUGUUUGUUUUUAUAACUCAAUGAGACUUUGUAGAUAAUUUUGACUUAAUAAAAUAAGCUAAUUUUUUUUUGCUUUUUACUUAAUGGAGAAAUUUGAAUUAAGUCAAUUACUUACUAAUGUAAAAAAUAUUCAUGUUUUAUAAUUUAUUUUUCAUGUCUAUCCCAAAACUCACCUAUAGACAUUUACUCCACAUAAAAAUAUCCAUGUUUUUUCUUUCUUAUAUUAUAUACGAUAAAAUUUAAAAUUUAUGGUAUUUUAUAUAUUAAAAUUCUAAAAUAAUUAUGUAUUCACUUGAAUAUAGUUUUACUUAUAAAUGUUAAAAUAUUGUGGUAUUUAAUAUAUUAUUUAUUUGACAUUCAAAUUUGAUAUGGAUACAAAUGUAAAAGUACAUAUUUUCAGUUUUUUCAGUUGAAAAAAACAAACAACUUAAUACUUAUUUUCCGAGAUUCAGAUGAAAAAAUAAACAUAUUAUUUAGAUUCAGACAUUCAAAUCUAUUCAGAAUUCAGACUAAUUCAGGUCUAUUCAGAUUUCAGAUAAAAAAACAAACGACACCUAAGUUUAUACUCCAACUAAUGUGUUAAUAGUAUUUGAAUAAAAAAUGAUAAAACUUAAUAAUUAAUUAUUGCUUAAGUCAAUUAAAUAGUAUCAUAUCAUUUGUUAAAAAAAAAAAAAAUCUUUGUUGUUUCAAGAUUAUUAAUCCUUUUUCAUUUACUUAUUAUCAUUACUAUCUGCAACAAUCAUAAUGAUUUGCAUCAACAUGUGAUUGUUUUUUUGACUCCAAGAACAGCUUGUAAAUGUAAUUUCUCUUCUUCCCCACUCACCCUUGAAAACCCACUAUUUGUGUACUUCCAAAACGAUUUAUUGCUGACCGCCAAAGACCGAUACUCACUGGACAAAUUCCUAAAAGAAAGAUUCAAAUUCCAAUGUCUUAUACCUAUUUGAUUUGCAGUUCUUGUUAUGCUAAUGACUAGAAUGAGGCAAAGUGUUUUUUAAUUGAGAUGAUGGAUCUAAGGGUGCAGCAUGAUGUUGUGAUUUUCCAUGUUGGUCAUAUAUGAGCUUUGUGAAAAUAGAAAGAUAGAAGAAGCAUGUAGGUUUUUAGAAUCGCAUCAAUGGAUGGGUUUUGCUUGACCGAGGGAACUAUUUGUUUCUGUGGAGAAUAAAGGGUGCAGAAAUGAUGUUGCUAAAUACAACAAGUUGAUAAAUGGGUAAUGCAAGAAUAAGGAAGUAGAGGAAGCGUUAGGCCUUUGUAGCGAAAAGCUUUCUAAAAGAAUUCUCCUAGAAUAUGUUGGGGGGAUGGAGCAGCUGCCCCCAUCGCACCCUAAGCCAACAGACUCAAAAUUGGAUGGGAACUUUUUUCAUAGAUUAUUUCACGAACGCCCGAUUCCAAAUAUGUAACAUAUAACAUCAUGAUUCAUGGGCUUUGUAAAAAUGGGCAAAUGGAUACGGAAGCAAGGCGUACGACGCCCAGUUGUGUCAUGUUUACUAAGCUUAUGCGAAAGAAUGAGACAUCAAAAGUUAUUGAACUUCCUCACUCAAUGGAUAAGAGAAAUGUAAUGCGGGAUGCAUCUAUACUUGCAACUGUUGUGGACUUUCUUUUAAAGAAUGAUAUCCGUUUAAACUCGAUUCCAGAAUUCAAAAGCCAAAAUUGAAUAUUGAUUUAGUAGCAUGUUUUUCUGCCUGCUGAAAAUCGGAUAUGGAGGAUCCGUUUCAUUAUACCAAAUGUGAAGGAGUGUCACGUUGUGAGGGCAAGGUAAAAUCCUCGCCAUCUGGUUCGGUUCACCAAAGAAACUUCCCCAUUAAUUUCUUGAAAAAGUUAAGUUAAAACUGUAAAUGAAAGAAUCAUGAUGAUCUGUUUUGGUUUGUGAGAUGUUAGAAAGAGGUCAUUGUUUAUUAAGUGGAAAUAAAAAUGAGGGAAUGAGAUUCAUUAAUUUGUUUACUUAUAAAUAGAGGAGGAGAAUUGAGAAUUAAAUUUGUUGGCCUCACAUCAAUUUAUGAAUAACUCUUGGAUUUCUAAUUUCUAAGGGAGAUUUGGAAUCUACAUCUCAUUUACAAUCUACCCAAUUGUAAUAAUUUUCAUUUUGUCAUUCUUUUAAAUAUUUAAAAAAUAAAUAAAAAUCGCAUGAGUACUGUGCAAAGAUGGAUUGUUCUUGUUAUUGUUGAUGUUAUUAUUACUAGCACCGAAUUACAUAUUAUUAAAUUAGUUUAAAUAUUACAAAUUAAAUUAUUUUUAAAUGAGUGAUAAAACCUGAUCAUUUAAUAACCAUGGCCAUUUAACAGAUUUAAACAUAAAAUUUCGUGUCAAAUUAUGUUUGAGUAUAAGGAUAAUGUAAGAUAAUUGGUACUUUAAUUUACAUUUAUGUGCNNNNNNNNNNNNNNNNNNNNNNNNNNNNNNNNNNNNNNNNNNNNNNNNNNNNNNNNNNNNNNNNNNNNNNNNNNNNNNNNNNNNNNNNNNNNNNNNNNNNNNNNNNNNNNNNNNNNNNNNNNNNNNNNNNNNNNNNNNNNNNNNNNNNNNNNNNNNNNNNNNNNNNNNNNNNNNNNNNNNNNNNNNNNNNNNNNNNNNNNNNNNNNNNNNNNNNNNNNNNNNNNNNNNNNNNNNNNNNNNNNNNNNNNNNNNNNNNNNNNNNNNNNNNNNNNNNNNNNNNNNNNNNNNNNNNNNNNNNNNNNNNNNNNNNNNNNNNNNNNNNNNNNNNNNNNNNNNNNNNNNNNNNNNNNNNNNNNNNNNNNNNNNNNNNNNNNNNNNNNNNNNNNNNNNNNNNNNNNNNNNNNNNNNNNNNNNNNNNNNNNNNNNNNNNNNNNNNNNNNNNNNNNNNNNNNNNNNNNNNNNNNNNNNNNNNNNNNNNNNNNNNNNNNNNNNNNNNNNNNNNNNNNNNNNNNNNNNNNNNNNNNNNNNNNNNNNNNNNNNNNNNNNNNNNNNNNNNNNNNNNNNNNNNNNNNNNNNNNNNNNNNNNNNNNNNNNNNNNNNNNNNNNNNNNNNNNNNNNNNNNNNNNNNNNNNNNNNNNNNNNNNNNNNNNNNNNNNNNNNNNNNNNNNNNNNNNNNNNNNNNNNNNNNNNNNNNNNNNNNNNNNNNNNNNNNNNNNNNNNNNNNNNNNNNNNNNNNNNNNNNNNNNNNNNNNNNNNNNNNNNNNNNNNNNNNNNNNNNNNNNNNNNNNNNNNNNNNNNNNNNNNNNNNNNNNNNNNNNNNNNNNNNNNNNNNNNNNNNNNNNNNNNNNNNNNNNNNNNNNNNNNNNNNNNNNNNNNNNNNNNNNNNNNNNNNNNNNNNNNNNNNNNNNNNNNNNNNNNNNNNNNNNNNNNNNNNNNNNNNNNNNNNNNNNNNNNNNNNNNNNNNNNNNNNNNNNNNNNNNNNNNNNNNNNNNNNNNNNNNNNNNNNNNNNNNNNNNNNNNNNNNNNNNNNNNNNNNNNNNNNNNNNNNNNNNNNNNNNNNNNNNNNNNNNNNNNNNNNNNNNNNNNNNNNNNNNNNNNNNNNNNNNNNNNNNNNNNNNNNNNNNNNNNNNNNNNNNNNNNNNNNNNNNNNNNNNNNNNNNNNNNNNNNNNNNNNNNNNNNNNNNNNNNNNNNNNNNNNNNNNNNNNNNNNNNNNNNNNNNNNNNNNNNNNNNNNNNNNNNNNNNNNNNNNNNNNNNNNNNNNNNNNNNNNNNNNNNNNNNNNNNNNNNNNNNNNNNNNNNNNNNNNNNNNNNNNNNNNNNNNNNNNNNNNNNNNNNNNNNNNNNNNNNNNNNNNNNNNNNNNNNNNNNNNNNNNNNNNNNNNNNNNNNNNNNNNNNNNNNNNNNNNNNNNNNNNNNNNNNNNNNNNNNNNNNNNNNNNNNNNNNNNNNNNNNNNNNNNNNNNNNNNNNNNNNNNNNNNNNNNNNNNNNNNNNNNNNNNNNNNNNNNNNNNNNNNNNNNNNNNNNNNNNNNNNNNNNNNNNNNNNNNNNNNNNNNNNNNNNNNNNNNNNNNNNNNNNNNNNNNNNNNNNNNNNNNNNNNNNNNNNNNNNNNNNNNNNNNNNNNNNNNNNNNNNNNNNNNNNNNNNNNNNNNNNNNNNNNNNNNNNNNNNNNNNNNNNNNNNNNNNNNNNNNNNNNNNNNNNNNNNNNNNNNNNNNNNNNNNNNNNNNNNNNNNNNNNNNNNNNNNNNNNNNNNNNNNNNNNNNNNNNNNNNNNNNNNNNNNNNNNNNNNNNNNNNNNNNNNNNNNNNNNNNNNNNNNNNNNNNNNNNNNNNNNNNNNNNNNNNNNNNNNNNNNNNNNNNNNNNNNNNNNNNNNNNNNNNNNNNNNNNNNNNNNNNNNNNNNNNNNNNNNNNNNNNNNNNNNNNNNNNNNNNNNNNNNNNNNNNNNNNNNNNNNNNNNNNNNNNNNNNNNNNNNNNNNNNNNNNNNNNNNNNNNNNNNNNNNNNNNNNNNNNNNNNNNNNNNNNNNNNNNNNNNNNNNNNNNNNNNNNNNNNNNNNNNNNNNNNNNNNNNNNNNNNNNNNNNNNNNNNNNNNNNNNNNNNNNNNNNNNNNNNNNNNNNNNNNNNNNNNNNNNNNNNNNNNNNNNNNNNNNNNNNNNNNNNNNNNNNNNNNNNNNNNNNNNNNNNNNNNNNNNNNNNNNNNNNNNNNNNNNNNNNNNNNNNNNNNNNNNNNNNNNNNNNNNNNNNNNNNNNNNNNNNNNNNNNNNNNNNNNNNNNNNNNNNNNNNNNNNNNNNNNNNNNNNNNNNNNNNNNNNNNNNNNNNNNNNNNNNNNNNNNNNNNNNNNNNNNNNNNNNNNNNNNNNNNNNNNNNNNNNNNNNNNNNNNNNNNNNNNNNNNNNNNNNNNNNNNNNNNNNNNNNNNNNNNNNNNNNNNNNNNNNNNNNNNNNNNNNNNNNNNNNNNNNNNNNNNNNNNNNNNNNNNNNNNNNNNNNNNNNNNNNNNNNNNNNNNNNNNNNNNNNNNNNNNNNNNNNNNNNNNNNNNNNNNNNNNNNNNNNNNNNNNNNNNNCUUCCUUCAAUAUUUUGUUUGGUUGUCUUGCUAAGACUAAACAUUAUGAUACUGUCCUUUCACUAUUCAAGAGACUCAAUUCCACUGGGUUGUUUCCGGAUCGUUAUACUUACAAUAUCUUGAUUAACUGCUUUUGCAAAAUGGGUCGAGUUUCUCAUGGUUUUGUUGUUCUUGGGAGAAUCCUCAGGUCUUGUUUUACUCCAGAUGCUGUGACCUUUAAUUCUUUGAUUAAAGGUUUGUGUGUGGAGAGUAGAAUCAUGGAGGCCGCUGCAUUGUUUACAAAACUUAGAGUGUUUGGUUGUGAGCCUGAUGUCAUUACGUACAAUACUUUGAUUAAUGGAUUGUGUCGAACCGGCCAUACAAUUGUUGCUCUAAAUUUAUUUGAAGAGACGGCCAAUGGAAAUAGGAAAUUUGGUGUUGUUUGUAAGCCAGACGCUAUUACAUACAAUACUAUUAUAGAUGGUCUUUGUAAGGAAGGUUUUGUGGACAAGGCCAAGGAACUGUUUCUGCAGAUGAAGGAUAAGAAUAUUAACCCAGAUGUGGUUACUUAUAACUCUUUGAUUCACGGUUUUUGUUACGCUAAUGAUUGGAACGAGGCGAAUUGUUUGCUUAUUGAGAUGAUGGAUCAAGGGGUACAGCCUGAUGUUGUGACUUUCAAUGUGAUCAUGGAUGAGCUCUGCAAGAAUGGGAAGAUGGAGUUGAGCGUGCUUUCAAGCUGUUUGAUGAGAUGCAACGUGAUGGCGUGGCAGCUGAUACCUGGACAUAUAGAACCUUUAUUGAUGGGCUCUGCAAGAAUAGUUAUAUCGUAGAGGCAGUUGAACUAUUUCGCACUUUGAGAAUUCUCAAGUGUGAACUUGAUAUUCGAGCCUACAACUGCCUCAUUGAUGGAUUAUGUAAAUCCGGCAGACUCGAAAUUGCAUGGGAACUAUUUUGUAGUUUGCCUCGUGGAGUCCUAAUAGCAGAUGUUGUAACCUAUAACAUCAUGAUCCAUGGGCUUUGUAACGAUGGGAAAAUGGACAAGGCGCAUGAUUUGUUUCUUGAUAUGGAAGCAAAAGGUGUAGCACCCAAUUGUGUCACAUUUAACACGCUGAUGCUAAGUUGCAUCCGCAAUAAUGAGACAUCAAAAGUUGUUGAACUCCUUCACAGAAUGGAUGAGAGAAAUGUAAUACCAGAUGCAUCUACACUUUCAAUUGUUGUGGACUUACUUGUAAAGAAUGAAAUUAGCUUAAACUCGAUUCCACAAUUCAAGAGUCAAAGUUAAAGUGAGUUUAUAUUGAUUUAGUCGCAUGUUUCUUCUGCCUGAAAACCCGAUCUGGAGGAUCCCAUUCUUAUUACAACAUGUAAAGGAGCGUUGUCUAAUGUUGGCAUGUUCCUAGGUUCUGUCCAUGGAUUCUGUUUGCAGACAUGGCUAACUUCUUGUCCAACAGAUAAGUUUUAAAGUCUUUCAACUUUAUGUUGUAAAAUAACAUUUUUAUUAUUCAAUUCAUGAGUUUUCCUUCUGUAACACAUCCUUCUCAUUAGCUGGAAGUGCAAAUUUUUUAGGCUUUUCCUGUAUGGCCUCUUUUUCUUCUCUAAAUAAAAUGGCAUUUUGUUUCCCUCCUGUGAGGGUACAACGUUUAUGUUCAAACUUUCUGUUAGUUAAGUUGGUUGUCUUUGAUAUAGGGAACUUCCAGUUGAACUGAUUUGUAAUUCGAGUAUAUGAGAUUACCAACUGUAUUGGGAAUUGAUGCCAAAUUAAUUAUGUCAUCAGGUUUUUCAAUCAGCGUUCAUCAUUUAUUUCUAUUAACAAUUAAUAGCACAGCUUGUCUUCUCAGCUUCAUUGAUUCCUCUAAAAAAUAAUCUUGUAAAGACAAUUUUUUUUUUUUUUUUUGGCAUGGUAAAUGCUAGAUAGUUUGUGGUCUGAAUGAUACUACACAUCUAAGUAAUUGCCCAAAUUGCCAUGUAACAAGGAGUGUUGCAUAGUGAUGUCAUGCUCACAGGUACCACUCAUCAACAUGGCCAACGCUUUCGAUGCAGUCAUUAUUAUGGAAAUUCAAGAGUUCUCCUCCUAAGAGGUCUCUCUCUCGUUCUCUUAAUUUCCUUAUUCUGUUUUGGAAGUAAUGUAAUGGGAAAAUAGCAUUUAAUUUCCUUGUGUCUGACAUUUUCUUCUAUAAAUGCUAUAAAAUAUCUUUUUUUUUCAUCAUUGAUAUGUAUUACACAAUCAGAAGACUACUCGUAUUUAUAUGAAACAUCUACUUUAUGGCACAGUUCAGAUUUUUAUCCUUAUAAAUAUUGGAGGGAUAUCUUUAUGUUUCUUCUGUGAUAACGUUUCUGCGUGCUGCAACCUUUUUAUUAGAUUGAUAGAAUGUGAAUACACGGAAAUUCUGUUUGAUAAUCUCGGCAAACCAGGAUUAAUAUGAAAUGGAGCGUCAUCAACAAAUACUUAGCAUAUUGCUGACUAUGAUUUGUUCUCCUCCCCUCAUUCUUUUUGUGAGUAGAAUUGGAUUGUGAAACUUGUUAUGUCAGCACAAGUGUUCUUACAAGUUGAUGUAAAAUACACUGACUUGAAAUAAUGGCAUGGUAAUUGGUAUAGAUAAGCUAGCAUGAGUAUAUUUUGUCACCAAUUUCGCCAACCGCGUCUGGGUGUGGAAAUUAUAUUGCAUUUCUAAUGUCAUUUGAAAGAAAAACUUGCAAAAUUUGUAAUUUGUUAAAUCUGAACCGUGGUUCACAUCUACUCUUCCCGAACUUGAGUCAUAUGAUUCAAUUUUUUAGUGGGCAUGGCGAGAUAGAUUUCUACCAAGCCCAACCCAUUUAUCUACCCUUUUGUAAUUUUCUAUCAUGCAUAUAUUUAUAUUUUUGUAUAGUUAAUAUCUAAUUAUUUAUGUAUUUUUAUCGAAUAACUACUAAUUAUAUUUUUCUAAAAAAUCGGCAUGAAAAGUUCAACUUAAUAUUGAAUUAAAUUUUGAUAAGUAUAUGUCAAAUGUUUGGAAUUCUUUUUCUAGUCUUCAUGAUUGAUUAAUUGGAAAAUAAAUGUGUAUGUAUUAAAAUGGUAUUGGAUAAACAUGCCCCUAUCACCCAAGUUUUCCUUUGGAUAAUUUCCUAACUUGCAAGUUGAUAUCGAUGUUUAAAAAGAACCAAAAAAAAAAAAAAAUACAUUGAAAUCUUUAUAAAUUAUUUCUUGACCUAAUAGUUGACACUUUCUCGCCUUAUUCUUGAGGUUGAAGGUUUGAAUUUUCUUAUGUGGAUUUUAGGUGAACUACAGAAAAACAGCUUAUAUGAGACAUUUUCAAAAUAAGUAUGAAUGUGGUACUUAUUCAUCAGAUGGACAUAUUAAUGACGUGAUAAAUUUAUAAUCCGCAAAAUUGUGGAUCAGAUAUAAAUUAAUGUCCAAUCCCUAAAAUCCGAUCCUCGAACACCUCUAUUACUUAGAGGCUCCCUUCUUCCAAAUUCAUAAUCUUCAACAUUUCUCCAACCAAUCAAGCAAGGCUAGAGAUAGGUAACAUACAUUUUGAUGUACAUUUGGCUUUUGUAUCAUUUACUUCACUAGUGAUCCAUUAAAUGGAUCCACCAUUAACGUAAAUGCUAGUUUAACUAUUGACAGUGGAGCAAGUAUGUAUGUGGUCCCUACGCACAAGCAUACACGCCCAUUAAAGCAUUACUCUCCUCAUCAUUGGAUAUGAAUUUUGUGAACUAUAUAUCUUUUUGGGGGUUUCAUUUAUCUUUCCGGUCUCUUAUGAUCAUUCACGGCUCCUGCUGCUGCUUCUUAUUGGCUCUUUGACAUCCUCUGUCUUGUUCUUGCUGUGUGUGUCAGCCACUAGCAACUGCUUCAAGCAAUGUGAGUUUGUUGCGUGAGCUUCCGUUUUGGUUAUUUUCAAUUAUUAUUUUUGUUGAUGGGUUUGUGAUUUUGUGCUGUAUUAUUACAGGAUUACACUGUUUAUAUGGAAGAGAGAAGAUAUGAUGAGCCUCAGCUGGUUCAGGAUUCGCACCAUCAGAUUCUUUCGGAUAUUCUUGGAAGGUUUAUAUUUCAAUCUCUUUAGCCGAAUUUACCUAUUAUAUUUUUAUCAUAUAAACGUUAUGCAAAAUGUUUAUGUUAAUGUAUGGCGAAAAUUGAAAAAUGGAAAAUAAAAAUAUUUGUGCUGCUUUCACUAUUUAUCUAUGUUAAUCUCUUUGAUAAAAUGAAGUGGAUGUCAUUAUUUCCAUGCAUCAGUAAUUACAAUCCAUAUUAUGCUCUUGCUAGUCUGUGCUCCAUUUGAACAUCGCAACGAACUUAUUUACUUACAUAUAUUUUGUGCUUUCUGGUUGGAAAUUGGAAGUUUUAACCAAUUUCUGAUCAGAAACAGCCCUUUUGAGUGCUAUGGCAGAAACCGCAGACGCGGCCUAACCUUCAUUUUUAAUUUGUAUCAAUUGGUAGUUUUUUAUCAUAUAAACGUUAUGCAAAACGUUUAUGUUAAUGUAUGGUGAAAAUUGAAAAAUGGAAAAUAAAAAUAUUUGUACUGCUUUCACUAUUUAUCUAUGUUAAUCUCUUUGAUAAAAUGAAGUGGAUGUCAUUAUUUCCAUGCAUCAGUAAUUACAAUCCAUAUUGUGCUCUUGCUAGUCUGUGCUCCAUUUGAACAUCGCAACGAACUUAUUUACUUACAUAUUUUUUGUGCUUUCUGGUUGGAAAUUGGAAGUUUUAACCAAUUUCUGAUCAGAAACAGCCCUUUUGAGUGCUAUGGCAGAAACCGCAGACGUGACCUAACCUUCAUUUUUAAUUUGUAUCAAUUGGUAGUUUUUUAUAACUCUCUCUUUUCCCCUCUAUCAAUAAUGAAUGGUAUUCGCUAGAGAAACCGUAAGGGGACUAAUCAUUGUGAAAAGCACUAGGUGAUAACUAGCAGUUUCAAUUUGACAGCAAAGAAGCUGCUAAGGAAUCANNNNNNNNNNNNNNNNNNNNNNNNNNNNNNNNNNNNNNNNNNNNNNNNNNNNNNNNNNNNNNNNNNNNNNNNNNNNNNNNNNNNNNNNNNNNNNNNNNNNNNNNNNNNNNNNNNNNNNNNNNNNNNNNNNNNNNNNNNNNNNNNNNNNNNNNNNNNNNNNNNNNNNNNNNNNNNNNNNNNNNNNNNNNNNNNNNNNNNNNNNNNNNNNNNNNNNNNNNNNNNNNNNNNNNNNNNNNNNNNNNNNNNNNNNNNNNNNNNNNNNNNNNNNNNNNNNNNNNNNNNNNNNNNNNNNNNNNNNNNNNNNNNNNNNNNNNNNNNNNNNNNNNNNNNNNNNNNNNNNNNNNNNNNNNNNNNNNNNNNNNNNNNNNNNNNNNNNNNNNNNNNNNNNNNNNNNNNNNNNNNNNNNNNNNNNNNNNNNNNNNNNNNNNNNNNNNNNNNNNNNNNNNNNNNNNNNNNNNNNNNNNNNNNNNNNNNNNNNNNNNNNNNNNNNNNNNNNNNNNNNNNNNNNNNNNNNNNNNNNNNNNNNNNNNNNNNNNNNNNNNNNNNNNNNNNNNNNNNNNNNNNNNNNNNNNNNNNNNNNNNNNNNNNNNNNNNNNNNNNNNNNNNNNNNNNNNNNNNNNNNNNNNNNNNNNNNNNNNNNNNNNNNNNNNNNNNNNNNNNNNNNNNNNNNNNNNNNNNNNNNNNNNNNNNNNNNNNNNNNNNNNNNNNNNNNNNNNNNNNNNNNNNNNNNNNNNNNNNNNNNNNNNNNNNNNNNNNNNNNNNNNGGGGGGGGGGGGGAGCGCAUUAUCCAAACACCUAUUUCGAGCAUGAAAAUUAACCCCAAUGACAAAAUUAAAUCCACCCGUUAACCUCAGUGUUAUAUUAGUAUCACAACAAAAAUAGAACAUACAAUCAACUAAGAAAGCUCAUAAAAGACAUAUAAAGAACUCAACAUGCUAUGAAGCAUGAUCUAAGAAAAUGAAACCAACCAAAUGGAGUUCGACAAACUUACAUACAUCUAAGAAAUUUAACUGAUAAAUAAAAAAGAAAACUAAAGCAUCAUGGUUGUUGUAAUAUGACCUAACCAAAUAACUUAUAUAAAACAGUAGUCCUAAUACUUCAUACAACAACCAAAACUAAGGCCAGCUUUUCUCCAUUAAUUUAUCUUGCAGAAACAGAAGUUAUCCCUAGCUGUCUAGCAUUACCUGAUACCAGCCCCAGUUCUUAUUUACCGACUUUAUACAAUAGGCUUUCCAUUAGUGAGCAAGAAAUGGUCCAUGUUAAAAGCUCAAUUGUUCAUACAAGUAAACAAUAAAGAACGAAUGAUAUGGGCCCCAAAACUUCAUAAUGAACAUAUUAGUAUAUAACAGACUCAUUUAAUUCUCUGAAUAUGUAAUCACCCAAAACCACUUCAUUUCUUGAAUUUUCUCAAAUAACACAAACAGGUCAAGUUCACAGUCAUCAAGAACAAUGAUGGAACCUGCCAACACCUCCCACCCACACAUAUUUUUAAAUUACGUGCGCAUUCCGCUCAAAAUUUGAGAAAACAUAAAAGUAAAAGAUGCAACAUUGUGACAUUUAUCAGACCAUGCAUCCACUACUUAAUUUCCAGUUUGAGUUUCUAUGUUUAAUAUUAAGAUGCAUUAUGCAACCACUGAAAGAUCAAUCAUAAAAACAAUGUUCAACGGUCAGGUUAACAACAAAUACUGUAGAUUGUCUCAUUAUUCAACAAUGAUUUAAUAAUUAUUAAUCAAUUGGGACCCAAAAAUACUAACAGCUGCACUAAUUUCAGCUUAGAACACGAGAUUGAAACUUUCCACAAUCAAGCAAUCAAACAACACACGGGAUUCAAAAAAGUAAAAGCCUCAAUCACUGUAUUUCCUACAAUUUCUUGCUAUCUAAAGAGAUUUUAUAAUAGCACUCACCUAUCAUCAAGUUUCUUAAGCUCGUCUUCGAUCUUCGUACGCAUCGAAUCAAGAACGCUUUGAUCCAUCUCCAGCACAGACUCAGCCACUAGGGUUUCAUAAAACGAGGCCAUGUCUACAGAAAAAAAGAGCAACAAUUAAAAUUGAAAAAAAAAAAUAGAGCAUUACUCGGAAGAAAUAAGUAUGCGAAUCCGGCGAGUUAGGUACCGUGGGCUUUGACCAUUGAGAAGACCUCCCCUUUGAGACCAACCUUCUCGAUGUCUUGAACGUCUGGGUGCGUAAGAAGGAAACGCUUGUGAGCGAGUACGAGAUGCGCCUGCUGAGUUCCUUCGCUGUCCAUGGCUAAUUCGGCUGCUGAUGACUCACUGAGAUACGUUCCGAGUUGGUUCUUUGCUUGAGAAAGGAGCUAGCGCAGUAUACAGAGUCGCCGUGACGAUUUACAAAUAAUUUAUGCCCGGUAUUUUCUUUUAUAUGAAUGUUAAUAUAUGCACCCUCUUCUUUUCAAAAAGAAAAAAAAUAUAUGCACCCCAUUAGUCUGAUAAAUCCCCCUUGCAGACCCUUACAUGGGCCCUCGUUGGGCUCGUGAACAAUUAUGGGCUCGUAGACGAGGUUCUAAAAUCAUCUGUCCAUUUUUUUUUUAAAUUUUAGAAACAGAAAAACAGUUCAAUAAUUUAUGUAGAAAAUUUAAAGAAAUAAUCAACAUUUGAGGUUUAUAUAUAAAUUUAACCAACUUUUCUAUCAUCCUUACUUUUUUUUAUAACCAAAGACAUUUAUUGUUCGAGAUUAAGGGAGAUAAUAAGUUGGUUAAAAUUUACAAGCCGCCCCCAAGAUUUAGCUACUGACGGAGAGUAAUAUUAUAGUAAGAGAGUAUUUUACUUCACUUCACUGGAGUAAAAGAGGUAAAGACACUUAUUUUAAUAUAUUAUAAAAAUACUUAUUUUUAUAUUUUAAUUUAUUUUAAAAAUUAUUUAGGUCGUGUUUUGAAUUGAAUUGUUAUAUUUUUUUAAUUUAUCCAUAAAAAUUGUAAUUAUAAAACAAAAGUUAAUAAUAUUUAAUAAAUAUAAUUUUUAAAUCAUAAUUUUAAUAAAAUUAUAGAUUUUUUGUCAAACAAAUAAAAAAUCACAUCAACAUAACUUUUAAGAUAUAAUAAUUAAUAUUUAUCAAAUACUUUAAUUUUGUAACUUUUAAAUUAUAAUUAGUCAAUUCCAAUCUCAAACAAGACCUAAAAUAAGUGAUUCAGAUAUUAUAAAAUUACUAUUUGAUGAAAAUUCCCCAUAUUAUAUAAAAUGACCAAAUAUAUAUUUGAAGAAUGAUCAAAUAUUCUUUAAUACGUAAAAUCCACGUGUUAUUUGAGAUGAAAGCCUUCUGGGCUUCCAAUUCUAUAUUUCUAUGGUGAGUUAUUGUUAGUGAGUAUAAUCUAUUAAAUUUAAUGAAUAAAUAAUAAAUCACAUCGAAUUCUGAGCCGUCAGAGGAAAUAUGCCGGAGACACUCUCGUGAGUCGUGUUUCCUGCUCUCAGUCGUGGGUGUUGAAAAUUUUCCUUCAAACUACUUUCUUCCGAGAAAAUAAUUAUAAUUUUUUUUAAAGUAAUGGGGAAACGAAAGCGCGGUGAUGCUAACAAUCCGAUAGAUAUUGUCUCUUCAACUCCUGGUAAAUCGUUCUUUUUUGUGUGCUUUAAUUUAUUCUUCCUUGAAUUGUCUCUCUUUUGUUUGGUCGCUGAGAAAACGCGGGAGAAAAUAUGGAAAGUUUUGAAUUUAAUAAUGUAGAUUGGUCUAGACAGUCGAUAGUGUUGUUUAUGAGGGUCGGUUGGUUUUCAUUUGGUUACGAUAUGUGAAUUUUUGUUUGUUUACUUCAAUAAUUUUGGACAAUCUUAGGUGAUAAUGAUAGAAACAGAUGCAUUUCCCAAUUUUUUUUUUAAUCCUAGAAAAUAAAAAUCUUUCUUUAUUUUGCUUUGCAAGAUGAAAUUGGGAUCCUGGACCAGUUUUAGAGUUAAUUAUUAUACUUCACAGAACUUGAUAGAACUUCGAUGGCUCAUGGCUUCAUAUAGUUUCUUUAGCCUAUCGUUUUGAAUGAUUAAGCUAACUGCUUCAUUCCAACUUAUUAAUAUGUUUAUAGUAGUACAGCCCGAGUGAAGUUUCCUAAAAUUGUCCGAAGAGUCACGCCAUUGUCUUAUGUUGAGUUCGCCUGUAUUGCAAAUUCUGAACAACAAGUAGAGCAACUUAAUUCAUUUUAUGCAUGCAUAUAUAUUUGAAUUGUUUAGAAAUUAUAUUAGGUAAUUGAUAAAGAAGAUUAAUGGGUUAAUGUUCAAUGUUGUUGCAGAGGAUCCUGGUCAUUUGUCAAAGCAUCGGACAUGUUGGCUGCAUACAGUAGCAUUUUUGCAUGCUCGAAAGAUGAAGAUAUCUAAACAGAAGAUAAGAAACUUUGAAUUGACUGCCCCAUGUUUUCUAGGUACUUUUUCUUGUCGUAGACGAUCAAAGAGAAGAGUUAAGUGCAAGAAUACAAGCCUCAUUAAGGGCAAGAAUUCAAGUUCAGUUAAGUGCAAGGAUAUGAUCACUAAACGAAAGAAGAAUAAGCUAGAUUCUGGAAAAUUUGAACACCUUUUGGAGUAAGCCCUAGUUUCUGCAAUGUAUUUUGUAGCCUGUAACUUGCCCUUACACUGAAUGCAUGUACAAAUUUGCAGUAAUUUGUGGAGGAGCUUCUCUGAGGAUAAGAAGGCUGGCUUUACAUAUCUCGACUCUUUAUGGUUUGACUUGUAUAGGAAACCAUCCAGCAAAGCAAAGGUUUUGACAUGGAUCAAGAGGAAGCAUAUUUUUUCAAAGAAAUAUGUCCUUGUUCCAAUAGUUUGCUGGUGUGUAUUUUUUUUCACCUUGAAAACUGAUUGUCGGAUUCCUUGUCAGUGCAUGGAAUUAUAUAAUCUUAAAAUGCUAUUUUUAGGAGACACUGGAACCUCUUAAUCUUAUGCAACUUUGGCGGGAGUUUCGAAUCAAAAACAAGAACACCCUGCAUGCUUUUGCUUGAUUCACUUGAAAUGUCAAAUCCUUGGCGGUUUGAACCAGAUAUAAGAAAGUAUGUGACUCUUUAUUUCUUUGGUGUGUUUGUGUGUCUGUGUACCAGCAUUAUUGUAUCUGUUUAUUGCACAAGUUGAGUGUUCAACCUGCGUUCUGGGUUUUGAAGGUUUGUGAUGGACAUAUACAAAGCAGAGGAUAGACCUGAAACCAAGGAGUUGAUAUCUCGAAUUCCAUUAUUGGUGCCUAAGGUAACCAUCAUAAGAGCUAUUAAUUAAUUUUACAUAACACCCUCUGAAUUUGCACCUGUAAAUACUGUACUUGUUUUAGGUGCCACAGCAAAGAAAUGGUGAAGAAUGUGGAAACUUUGUUCUCUACUUCAUUAAUCUGUUUGUAGAGGGUGCUCCAGAGAAUUUUAACCUUGAGGACUAUCCAUACUUUGUAAGUUUUCUUGUUUGUGUCAUGUUUGUCACCUGCAGGAUUGUUCUUAUGUAUUAGUGACCGAGUUCCUCAUCUCUUCAAUACACUGCAGAUGGAAAAGAAUUGGUUUACUGCAGAAGACCUGGAUUGCUUUUGUGAGAGACUCAACUCCUCUGAAAACUGAUUUGCAUUAGUUUCGCUAGAUGCAAUGUACGAUUUGCAUUAGUUUCGCUAGAUGCAAUAUAUGUAAGUUCUUUAACAUAUUUGUAUACGUAGGGAUUAGGUCUCUGAGGUUUAUUUUGAAACAUUAUGAUUUAUAAGGUUAUGAUUUAGGCAUGGAGCUGAAGCAUAUAUUAGCUGCAAUCUCUAGGAUGGCAGAUGACGAUGUCUUGAUCAAUUAAAGGCAUUUUUUACUGUCUCGGCUUGCUAUUAUAUUGUUAGGCAAGAUUCUCGGUAUUGAGUUACUCGAGCUCUUCACAACAGCAUAUUCUAGUCUUCACCCAAUACUUAGAUAUAUAAACUAAUUUGACUUGCAGAGAACCUGUUGCUCUCACAACUCUGCUUUGAGCUCAUAACUCAGCUCCGCAGUUCUGCUUAUAUCCAAGACAUUGAUCCAAAUAAAAGAAUCAGAUCUGAAAUAUUGAACUAGGUUGACAUGCUGCAACUUGGAAACAGAAAAACGUUGAAGGCGGUAAAACCACCUGUAGAAUUUUCUGCAUCACUGAAACCAACAUAUGUAUUAGGGAUAUUUUGUUCUGGACCUUACAAGGUGCUCCUUCCUUGAAGGAACUGAGAAGCUAGUGCACUUUUUUUUUGUGUGGAAAUCCAGCAUGGAGAUCAGGAGAUGAAAAAUGUAAAUUUAGAGAAAUUGGAAAUAAAAAACAACAAACAACAGCAGUAUUUACUGGCAACAAUUGUAAGCCGCAUAAAGCAAAACAAGCCAAUCAUUUCAUACAUCAUAUGCUCAAAGCUUUGCUCAAAAUGGUAGAAAACAAUCUAGCAGCUAAAGUUCCAUCAUCAUAAGCGCAUUUGUACGCAUACACUAGGACAAAUGGCUCAACUUGUCAGUGCUAUUAACAAUGUGAAACUACACUAACACAUCGAAACAUGAUUUAGGCUUAUCAAUAUCAGUGCAAGUCAGCAAAGUGUGGUCGGUAACAAAAAUACAUUCUUUUCUUUACACCUAAAUCUGUAAUCAGAAGCUGAUUCCUCAAAAAGUAUUUUCAGUGUGUUGUUAUCAGGAGUUAGCAAUAGGGAAUGUCACCAUCUGGAACCUCCCAGUUAUCAUCUUCAUCAUCGUCCCCCUCCUUCUUAGGAGUUUUCUGUUUCACUGGAGAUUUUGGCUUUGGUCGUCUGACAUGAACAGAAUAAAUCAAUAGCAAGCAUGUAGUUCUUUGAAAAGAACAAAAAACAUAAAACGAAAAUGCAUAUGAGAGUGCCAACAAACAUGAUCAGCGACAUUUAAACAAAGCAAAAUUGGAGGAGGUACUGGCAUGAUUUAUAGGCCAAGUAUCAAGAUGGAGACUUUUAAUUAAUUUUUGGAAUCUUUAAAAUAAGAAAACAUAUUAGCAUAAAAGAUAUUAGAAUUGUAUAAUGAAAACAACAGAUGCCAGCAAAACACACACUGACCGUUUUCCCUGAGAGAUUUUAAGUUUGAAACUCAGCAUUGCUUCCAAUCAGUACAUGAAAAUUCAGCUACUCUUCUACCAUGAAACAAACCAUUUGAACUAUGCUUCCAAAUAUCAUCAGCACAUCUUUAGCAACCACCAAUGGGUUGCUAUGUUGUUAUUGUAAUGGGAAGCAUAACAUAAGGUACUUGAUGAUAUCUAAAUAGAUCCCAGUGGACGGCAUUUAUAUUGAUUCAGCAUCAAAACCUAGGAAAAAACUAAAUGUGAUCGUGUACUAGUAACUAAAUUAAGAAACUGAAUCAUCAGCAGUUGUUCUUCAACAAAUAUUAACAGAAGCCCAAACUGAAUACCUUUUUCGGUUCCUUUGAGCAGCGGAUCUCGCUUUACGCUUCCUCUUCUCCUGACUGCUCUCAAAAAAUCUUCUUCUCUUGCACUCUUGUAUAAUACCAGCUCUCAGCACCGCACUCCUAAACCGCCUCGCUAUCUUCUCCUCGGGCUAGUCGUCGGCGACUUCUAUCUGCACGUUGAAGAAAUAUAUGGUGUCUGUUGGAGCUGGACGGGGCUGCUGGCUGCUGCUGUGAGUGCUGUCGUCGUGGGCCACAAAACUCAAAAAGUGAGAAGAGGGAGCAAGGAGGGGGAGGGAGUUAGACGGUGAGACCGGCUGGUGUCUGUUGGAGCUGAACGGGGCUGCUGUGGCUGCUGCUGAAGUGCUGAUGUCGUCGGCCACAGUUCUCAGAAAGUGAGAACUAAGAAGAGGGAGCAAGGAGGGGGAGGCCGGGAGGUAGACAGGGAGUGAGAGAUUUUUGUUUAGGGAUUUUUAGGGAUUUUUUGGUUUAAUUAAUGUAUAUAUAUUUUUUAUUUAAAAGCUAAAUUUAAAAAAAAAAAAAAGCUUCAACCCGAACGGGUUGAAAAUUCGGUUCGGGUUGAACCCGAACCGAAAUUUAACCCGAACGGGUUGAAGCUUUGAAUCCGUUCGGGUUUCACUGGUUAAUCCAAACCGAACCGAACCCGAAAUAAAUUUCGGGUUCGGUUUGGUUCGGGUUAACCCGAACCGAACGCCCACCCUCACGCUUCACUCUCUUCUUUGGUUCUUCUCCAAUUUUCACCCUUAAAUCUUCACAGCUUUCUUCUUUUUAAGUCUUCACUCUUCAGUUUUCACAAAUCGAUUUCUCACACAAUCGGGUUUCACAGAUCGAGUUUCAGUCACAAAAGCAAACCGAUGGUCACUCAAAGACGCAGCGCAAGAACCGAAGAUCAUUUGCAGACACAGCCACCGGAUCCGUGGUUCCGUCCAUCACCAAGUUUCUCACCUCCAAGCUCCACUUCAACCCAGCAACCUGACUUCUCCAACCUGCAACCUGAGCCUUGUGUUUUGAAAUUUUGAUGGUUUUUCUUGAUGUUGUGAUUAUUAUCAUAUAUAAAUUGUAAAAUGUUAAUGUUCACCAGCUAAUGAUAAAGAAAAUCAGUGAUAAAGAAAGUUGUAAUGUAUUUUUUUUUCCAAUGAUGGGCAUAAAUUUUUUCAUUUUUCAGUCCAAACUGAUUUUAAUCCGAAUCCGAUCCGAACCGAACUCAACCCGAUUUUUUGACCCGGAUCGGAUUACAAGUUCGGAUUGAAUUCGGAUGGAUUUCUGCCCAACCCGACUAACCCGAAAUCCGAUCGGGUCGAACCAAACCCGAUCCGAAUCCGAUUUUGCCCAGCUCUACUUUUAGAACUAUCAGAGCUCGUUCAAAAUGUCACGGCCCACUUGAUAAAAUUCUCAUCUUAUCAACUUCAAAGGCAAAUUUAAAAAAAUCUUACUCCCCAAAUUUUCAAUUUCACCUAUUCUGCAUACUUGUUGUAAUGCUCACUUAAGACCCUCUCUAGUAACUCCUCUUAGAUGUAAGACUUUGCCCAGCAGACAACCCUCAACUAACUCUCUCGCAUUCCCUUCCAUGACAUUACCAACAACUACUUUACUUUCUUUUCCUUCUUCUAAUGUAAUAACUUUACACUUGCGGAUUAGUUCUUCUGUUUCCAUGAGGCACUAAAAUAUAAAUCCACUAUGAUAACUCUUGAGUAUCUACCACUUCCUCUGUAAUUAAGACUCAACAACUUAGAUGAAAAACUUAAAACUAAAAGAGACACCCAACUCGUGAGCGACUUUCGCAAUCUUAUAGGCUACUACCCUUUCAUUCUAGAUUCUCACUCAAAGAGAGAGAACCUGUGAAGAAAGACUUCUACAGGUAGGAGAGCACUUACACAGUAGAUUAUUUAUAUUUCUUUGGACUGACUUUUUUACUUUAUUAAAGACAAAAACAACAUAAACAAAGACAGAGGAUUAACAAAAGCAUCAAUUGCCAAAGAGUAGAGAGUAUUAUUAUAUUUUAGGAACUUAGGUUAUGACCAACUUAAAAGAAGCAGUUAGGGCUUGUUCGGUACCGUUUUAAAAGCCUUAUUUUCAUUUUUGUUUUGGGAGUAUAAAUAUAAUACAUAUUCAGCGGGUUGAAUCCAAAAAAAUAAAUUAUAAAACAAAUAAUUGAUAUUCACUUUUACAGUUAUAAAAUUAAGAACCUGUUGAACAUGUUCUCAAACAAAUUACAAAUUAAAUUAAAAAAAUAAACCCCAAAACAAAAUCUAAAAAGUUAUCUUUCUCUCCCAAAAUCUUAUCCCCUCCCUCUCGUUAUCUCUUCACAACUCUUCCUUCUUCAUGGUUGAUACUUCUCCUUUAACCACAACCCACCUGAACUGUGCACCGAUCUCUCUCUCCCCUUCCCCUUUAUCUAGGUCUACUUCAAUGUUCUCUUCCUCUCGGUGGCUGUUACUUGUUCAUCAACCGCAAUCCAUCGUCGCAAGGUACUACGUCGGAAUAUUUGACCAAAAACAUGUCAGGACAAAGUGAUGUCUAUCAUGGUUUAUUGCUGCAAGUGCAUUAUUUUCUUUGUACUAAAGUGAAUCUUUGAUGUAUUUAUUAAAUUUGGUGGAGCAAUCUUAGUUAAUUUUGAUGAUUUAUAUAUGCAUUUAAUUUCAUUUUUAAUAAUUCAUGUGCAGGAAAUAUGGAUUCUUGGCUUUGCUUGGACUGAUGGUUUGCGCAAUUUCAUUUGGAAUCAAUCAGCUUCGAGGAUAAACACUUGAAGUUCAUCCUUUCUUGUGCAUGGGACUUGCUUUUCUUCCAUCCAACUUUUUUGUUCUCUUUUUCUAUGGUAGCAGUUUUAUGUUUUGUGUUGGUGGGAAACUUCAUGCUGCAAUUUUGUCAAACUCUGUUGACAUACCCUAAUCAGUAAUGACUUUGCUGCAUGGCGAAAGCAUAAAUCUUGUCAUUAGAGCUUGUUUCCAUAAAAUAAGUGUAAUUUGAAAGUACAUUGUACACUAUUGAAUUUAAAUUAUCCCCAACAAGUGUUGAUGCAUGAUGUCUAUCGUGUAAUUUUUUUUAUAAUUAUUUUGUUUAAAUUAUAUGUGUUGUAAUAUAUAACUUAAUUAUAGUGUAAAAACAAUGGCAAUGUAAUUUUUUGUAUUAAUGCUAAUACUAAAACUUUAUCAUCAUGCAAUUUUUUAUAAUUAUUUUAUUUAAAUUAUUUAUGAUAUGUUUGCGUAUUAAUUAAAUAAACAAUUAGUUUUUACUAAAAACUAUGACUUACAUGUUUAGUAAAAACUGUUCAUGAAAAUAGUACUACAGAACACAUUUUCUCUGAUUUUAUCUUUUUCAAUUGUUUUUAUCAAACACAUGUUACUGUUUUCAAUUUUAAAAUACAAGAUAUAGAAAAUGAUAUCAGAUGCCUAUUUAAUUCAAAAUGCUGCAACUGCAAAACACUAUUUUUAUUCUCAUUUUUGUUUUCAGAAAAUACUAAUUCAGAAACAAUAACAAACAAGAACUUAGUUUUAGUACGAAUAAUGUUGUGUUAGUUUUACAGGCUUAUAUGCACCCUUAGAUUUAUUAGAAGUAUCAACCCAACCCCCUAGUUACCGUUGACUGAUAUCUAACCCGUUGACUGAUGUUAACUCUUGAAAGUAACUAUAACAUCUAUAUUGUAAUCUCACUUUAUUAACUAAUAAAUUUUAAAAAUAUAAACAGAUCAAUAACAACAAAAUAAUUAAAGUUGAAAUCCAAGAAAUUACCUAAAAAUCAUACCUGAAAACCAAAAUGCAUAAAAUUUCAUUAAUUUAAGUUGUGAGAAUGAGUAGUCCACAUUAUAUGAUGAAUGAACAACUUCUAUCAUUUUACCAAGUUAUUAAUGUUAUGUUUACUUACUGGAGUGGACAUGAGAAGUAUAGAUUCCUCUCACUCUAAAGUUUACUUGCAUAUUCUAAGAGGUGUGGGAAUCCCACUCCGUUGAUCCCACCCAAUUUUGAAGUAGUGAGUGUAAUUCCCACUCCCACAACUUUCUUUUUUACUUUUCUUUUAUUAAAUUUAAUACAAUCAUAUUUAGUAAAAUAAAACAAAUAACAUCAUAUUUAUUUAAUAAAUAUUAUUAUUUUAUUUUAUAAAAUUCUAUUUAUUAAAAAGAAUAAUAUUAAUCUUAUUUAGAUAAAAUUAUUAUUAUAUUUAUUUAAAAAUAAUAGUAUUAUAUUUAUUUAAUAUUAAUAAUUAAUAAUAAUAAAUAAUCUCAAGAUUUCCACUAUAAUCUAAAAUGUAAACACUGUCUAAAACGUCAAAUAAAAUUCUUAAUUAAGUAAACCAUAAGGUGAUUACGUAUAAAAAAAAUUAAUAAUAUUAAUUUUCAUAAGAAUUUAUGCUUGUAGUAUUACUUCACUUUUUUAUUAACCGUUGCUUCAACUUAUGGUAGAUAUUAAGAGAACAAUAAUAAUAGAGCUAUAAAUGUUUGCGUACUAUCAAUCAACUUAACAGUAUAAUUACCAACAAAUCCUUAAUACCAUAAAUAAUUAAAUUAUUGGGGUUUUAAAAUGACUCUCUAGACUUUGCAUGAUUUCUUUAUAUGUAGGUGCCAUGGUUCCCAUAAGUAAUAUCAGCCACACUUUUUGUUAUUGUUAAAAAAAUUUUAUAGGUACAAUUUGUGAAUUUGUACAAAAUGUGGUAUUAUACAUUUGAAGCAUGAACUGACAAGACAAUGUUGUGUCAAUAAUAAAGAAACAAAAAAAAAAUUGUAUAAAAUACAGAUGUUGUAGUGUAACUUGGAUUCUUUUUCUUUAUAAUUGCACCUAUCAUGUGAUUAUCAAAAAAAAAAAAGAACUCCUGAGAUUUUAAAAUUUUGUAAUUGCACUAUUUUUGGAUUAUCAGAAGACUUCCUCUCCUUAAAGAUGCUCUUAAUCCAUAAAUGGUGCAAAACAUAAUUCAUGAAAUGAAUUUAUUAUUUUAGAUAAGUUUCAAGUAUGCAUACCUUUUAUAGCUCCAUAUUGCAUAACUCCUCAUUUCAAUCAAUGGAUGCAUUUGUUUACUUUUUCUUUCUUGUAAAUUUUUUAAUGGCCGUAAUUCUAUAAAUAAUUAAUUAAGUGUUAUUGUUAUCAUUAUUUUGUAGAUGCAUAUGUGGGGUGGGGACGUUGGGGGGCAUGGAUCUCAAUAUAGCAGAGGGCCUGAAUAUUUAUUCUUUAAGAGGAACCACAACCAACAACAAUGCUUUAAGUUCCAUUCCAUUUUACUUCUGUGCACCAGAUUGCAUAAACAACAUUGAUUAUCCAAGGUCAAAGUCUCUCAAAUACUCUAGUUACAAGACAAAGCAUGGGUUAGUAGUGGCCAAAAUUUUCUUGCAACGAAAGGCUCGUAAACUGAUGACAGCUGCUGGAUUGUUUUGGGCCUUAAUGGUUUUAAUAUUAUUCUCUUAAAAACAUAUAUGUUGAUUAGAGACGAGAGGAAGAAGAUGAUAUGAUUCAGCCAGUUGCAGAAGAAAGAGCACGCAGUGGAGUUCAGAUUUUGAAUUCUCUUGUCAAAUUGUUUUUAAUUUACUACAAGGUAGAAUAUGUUGCAUUGUUAAAAAAUACUUUGAACAUCCUAUUUUUGUAUUACAAAUAUACCAAAAAUUAAAUUAAUUUUUUUCUUUAUUAGUAUAAACUAAAUUUUGCAUGAAUCCUCAUCCUUAUAAGUGGAAUUCUAUUGUGAAAUUAAUAGUCCUUCCUAGUUGAACUAACUAUCACUUUGAACAUGUGUCAUCUCUAACAACAGCUCCCAAACCUGCAGCUACCUGCUUCUUAGCAUUAGAAGCAGUAUCUGCAUUGGCUUUCAACCAGCCAUAAUUAGGAGGAGGGCACCAUUGUUUCUGUUUGUCAAUUUCCUUUCUUGAACCAUAAGCCAUAAUUAGGAGGAGGGCAAACUUCCAAAUAACAUUCCAAAUGGUAUUGUGAAAAAUUUUCACCCUUUUGGUAAUAAAAAAGAACCUUAUUUCUAGUUCUCUAUUAACAAUCUUACCACUAAGUUCUCUCUUGAGUAGAAACAUCAUAUAUAUUAAUUUAUUGUUAAUAUAAACAAAACUAAAUAUUUAUAACUUAAAAGAUAGGUGUUGAAUAGAGGCAGUCUCACAGAAAAAAAAAAAAAAGUAUUUGAAAGCAGUGGUGAUAUCAUAUUUUUUGUAAUGAUACGAGAGUAUCACACUAGAUUUUUUUUCUGCAUUACAAAAAGUUUGUAUUCAAGAAUAAAUAAGCAAUAUCAGGAACAAAUUUUACAAAAAGCCUCCAGGACAUGUCAUAUUAAUUUUGUGAUAUAUUAGUCACUAGAUCUUCUUUCCACAUUACAAAAAAUUAGAAAUGCAAUCUAAAUCGAUAUCAAUUACUAAUUUUAUAUUGAAUGGGUCCUACAUGAAAAUAAGGAGUAUUUUUAUAAUUUAAGAAAUUAUUAGCCAUUUACCCUAAGUUUACUUUGUGUCAAAAAAUACUACGAAAACUUUAACUUAUUUAGUUUUUUACCUGAAUUUAUAAUUUAUAUCAAUCACUCACUAAAAAGAUAGAAUUACCUCAUAAAAUGACAAAAUAAAAACAAACACAAAUGACAAUACCAGUAAUUUUAUAAGGAUAAUCCAAUCCUUUUGGCACCAAAUUACAUAUUAAAUUAUUUUAAAUAUUAUAAAUUAUUUUUAAAUUGAGUGAGAAACCCUGGUCAUUUUAAUACUCAUGGCCAUUUAAUCUAACAAAACAUGAUAUUUCGAGUAGACUUAUGUUUGCGUAAUGAAUAAUAGAUUUCAAUGAUGAGAACUAGACUUAUUUUUUAUUUAGGCAAAUAAUACAUGCACCGCUUACUUGGCAAUAUAUUUAAUUUUUCAAAUUUCUUUAUUUAGUCAACAAAUUUGAAAUUAAGUCUUCUCGAAUAUUAAGAAAUGUUGAUGAUUUUUAUAUUUUUGUUAUGUAAGUUGGAGUUUGUUAUUCAUUUUGUUAAUUAUUUAUUUUCUUAAUAUUCUUAUGAUUCACUUCCUUUAGGGGCUGAGUUUUGGAUUCAUCAUGAUUGUAUCGGGGUCCGGGUUUCACACGCUCGUUUUGUUAUGCCUUAGUCUUUGUUUUGUUUUUUUUUUAAGGGAAGCAAUUUCAUUAAACCAAAAACGAAUUACAGACUAUGUAAUAACCACAAAGGUGGAACGAAAUUCCACUCUUGGGGACCUGACAUAGAACCUACUGCCCUUGCAACAGAAUGAGCAGCCAGGUUCGCAGACCGACGUACAAACGAGAAUUGUACUUCUCCUAAAGACUUAGCUAAAGCUCGACAUUCAUCAACUAUUAAACCAAAACCGUUAGGCCCUGAAAACUCCUCAACUAGAGCUUGAAAUACUUGUAAACAAUCAGUUUCAACAAUGACACAAGGAAAUUGUAAGCCUUUAAGCCAACUAAGGGCCUCCCGAAUACCAAGAGCUUCAGCCUCCCUUGCUCCAAAAUUCCCAGCCAUUCCAGCACAUCUUGCUGUUAAGAAAACACCCUCUGAAUUUCGAAGCACACACCCAAAACCAAUCUUUCCUUGAGAUGAAAAGAUAGCAGCGUCAACAUUACAUUUGACCCAACCAAACUUUGGCCUCUCCCAACAUGUUGCCCCAUGGACCAGCUUAUGGACAUCAGUAUCAGCAUAGAAUUGUUGCUUCUUUGCUGCUUGCCACUGAUAGAGAAGUUGCCCAGCAGAAUUGAGCACUUGAUUCACUGAACCAGUUUUGUUAUUCCAUACUUUGUCAUUACGAUUAAUCCAAACUCUCCAGCAGAUCAUCAUGGCAACAUGGCAUUCUUCUUUGCUGCAGCGUGUAAAGAUGUGAUCAAGCCACUCUAAGAAAGAAUAACAAUGGCCAAUAAAACCCAUAGAGGAAGAAAUCCAGCAAGCCUUAGCAACAUUACACUCAACCAACGAAUGGAGAACCGUUUCAUCAAAAGCAAGACACACAGCACAAGUAGGGGGGAUAUUCACCCGCUUAGAAAUUAAAUUAACUGCAGUAGGCAACACAUUAGUUGCCGCUCGCCAAACAAAAUUCUUAACCUUAUUCGGCACAUUCAAGUUCCAUAGUUUUCGCCACACAUCUGUGAAAGGGCCAGGGGUAAGAGAAUGUAAAACCUUAUAACAGCUACGGACUGAAUAGCAUCCGCGAGAAUCAGCCAACCAAUACCACACAUCAUCAUUUCGGCGGGAACUAAGGGGAAUUUGAAGUAUCAACUCCUUGUCUCUUGCGUUGAAAAGAUCCGAAACAAGAUCAUAAUCCCAAGCUCGUUGAUUAGGCACCAGUAAACUACUAACAGGAGCUGCAGCAAGCUCUACAUGGAGAUUAGAAGAAACAAAUCCAUUAUUAGUAUCAGGAAGCCACGGAUCCUUACCAAUGAAGAUCGAAUUCCCACAGCCAACUUGCAGUCUACUCCCUUGAAUUACCACAUCCUUUACAGCCAAAAUAAAGCGUCAUACAUAGCUAGGAUUAUGCCCCACAGAAGCUUGAAGAACAGAGGUGCGCGGAUGGUAGCGAGCUUUAAUUAUCUUGGCCACAAGAGAUUCCGGACAAGUUAACAGCUUCCACAUUUUCUUUCCUAACAUCGCUAGAUUGAAUAAAUGAAGUUGUUUAAAACCAAGGCCCCCAUAUCCUUUUGGUUUGCACAGAUUUUCCCAAUUGGACCAGUUUAUUCCUUUCCCUCCACUUUGAUUACUACGCCACCAGAAUGAGUUCAUCAGUCCUUCUAGUUCUCUACACAAAUCCUUUGGCAGUAAAUAUAUACCCAUAGCAUAAUUAGGCAUCGCAAGGGCUACCGUUUUUAACAAAAUCUCCUUCCCAGCCCGAGAAAGCAUCCGCGUACUCCAUCCCUGCAGGCGUUGCCAGAGCUUGUCCCUAAUAUACCUGAACACCUCUUUCUUGUUUCUGCCAAUAUAUGAUGGAAGACCAAGGUAGGCUCCAUGAUUAGAGGUCAUGGUAACCGCUAGAAUAUCACAAACCUGCUGAGUAACAGAUGCAAUCACAUUAGUGCUAAAAGAAAUUGAAGACUUGUUGAAAUUAACCUCUUGGCCAGAAGCUCGACCAUAAACCUCCAGCAGCUGCUUGAUUAAAGAAGCUUCAUUGUUAUUUGCCCUGAAAAAAAGGAAGCUAUCAUCGGCAAAAAACAAAUGCGAGACCGAUGGUGCCCCUCUCGCGAUCCGUACACCAUGAAGUAAGCCAUUCCUUUCUUGUCUUCGAAUUAAAGAACUGAGCCCUUCCGCGCAAAGAAUAAAUAGAUACGGAGAUAAUGGAUCUCCCUGUCGAAGGCCUCUACUCGGAACAAUCGGCCCAACUUCCUUUCCCUCCCGUAGCACAUGAUAUCUGACAGUAGAUACACAGAGCAUAAUUAACUCCACCCACUUGGCAUCAAACCCCAUCUUAAGCAUCAUUGCUUGAAGAAAAUUCCACUCAAUCCUGUAAUAUGCCUUAGACAUAUCAAUUUUCAGAGCAGCUACCCCAUUUUUACCUUGUCUCUUCCGCUUCAAGAAAUGCAUAAUUUCAGCCGAAAUGAUUAUGUUAUCCGUGAUAGCUCGACCCGGGAUAAAAGCGCUUUGAGAGUCUGAAAUAACCACAUCAAGAACUGAUUUCAUGCGGUUAGCUAGCAUUUUGGAUAUUAUCUUAUACAACACAUUGCAUAACGCAAUUGGUCUCGUAUCUGAUAAUAAUUCAGGUUUGUGUUUCUUCGGUAUUAGCACAAUUGAAGUGUCAUUCAAGCCCACUGGGAAAGAGCAAUCAUGAAUAAAUUUUAAACAAGCCAAAAUCACAUCCUUACCCACAAUAUGCCAGAACUUUUGGUAGAAAGCAGGGUUCAUCCCGUCGGGUCCUGGAGACUUGUCCGGAUGCAUUUCAAAGAGUGCUUCUUUAACCUCAAUGUCAGUAAAAGAAGCUAAAAGCAUUGCAUUAUGCUCGUUUGUAAUUCUUGUAUCCACACACUGGGUAACUUCAGCAGUAUGACACCCUCCGGAGGUGAAAAGGCUCUGGAAAUAGUCCACAAUCAAAGUAUCCACCUCCUCUGGGUUGGAACACCAGUCUCCUUGAUUAUUACGAAGAGACUCGAAGGAAUUCUGCCUUCUCCUGGCAGAGGUCGAGGCAUGGAAAUAGUGAGUGUUCUUGUCACAUUCCUUUAACCACAAAGACUUUGCUCUCUGUUUCCAAAAAACCUUAUGACUAUGCAAAAGCUCAUUAUAACGCUGUCUCGCUUCUGAAAAAGCAACCACACCCUCACUAUCUCGCCUACCUCGAAAAACAGCCAUACACUUCUUGCAUUCCCGAAUUCGCUGUCGAAAAUCUCAAGCAAAAUGCCCUCCCCACUCCAUAAGAGCAGACCCACACAGCAUAAUUCUAUGUUGAAUAGAAGCACCAGUAUAGGAGCUCCAGCUAUCCCGAAUAACAUCACUACAGUCAGCCUCACGCAACCAAGUAUUCUCAAAACGAAAAUGGUUAUGCCUUAAAAUAGGCUGGGUCGGGCUAGGAUCCAACAAGAUAGGAAGAUGAUCAGAGCAAGAGGAGUCUAAGCUAUAGACUUUCACCUUGUUGAAUCGCUGAAUCCAUUCCUCAGAUGCAAAAGCUCGAUCAAGCCUUUCUUCAACCCAUUUAUCAGUGCCCCUAGCUCUCUCCCAUGUAAACUGAUACCCAUCGAUGCCAAGAUCAACUAAAUUGCAAUCGGUAAUAGCUCGCUGAAAACCCACCAGCUUCCAAUUUGGGUGCGCAAUACUACCUCUCUUCUCAUUUGCCGCCAGUAAAUCAUUAAAAUCACCUAUACACACCCAUGGGAGUGAAGAGGAAGAAGCAAGCAAACGGAGCAAGUCCCACGAUUUGCGGCGCCGGCUAGACUCAGGAUAGCCGUAAUAACCAGUUAAUCUCCAUUUUCCUAAAACGGGCACUUCAACUUCAGUAUCUAUAAAAUUGGUGGCAAACUGCAGCAGAUUAACAUUACUAGUAGCUUUCCAAAGAAGCGCGAGCCCACCACUCCGGCCAACUCUAUCAACAACAAACAGCCCAUCAUAGCCCAAUUGAAUUUUGAUCAUCUCUAACUUAUCUCUACUGCAUAGCGUUUCAAUAAGAAAAAUGAACGUAGGCUUCUUGUUACGGACCACCUCUGCCAACAUACGAACUGUCCGUGGCUGGCCCAACCCACGGCAGUUCCAACUUAAAGUACUCAUUGCUCUCGGUGGGCCUGAAGUACAGGUCCCACCGCUAGCCCGUUUUUUGGAUCUACCACCAUAGAACUCACAUCCACCUCUGUUUGUACUAUACCCUCCAGCCCCAUAUCCGCUCUUCUUCUUUUAGCUUCCUUUAACACUAACUCUUUCUCCCCAUACCUUACAGCUACUUGAGUAAGGUCCAGCCCAUUUGCAAAUGAAACCACGUCUUUGCCCUUACCAAGCCGUUGACUGCUAGUGGCCUGGACAACUGGCAAUGCUUGUAAGCUCAUUAUAUUAUCCAUAGAAUCCCGCCCAUCACUCCCUAUAUGGUUGGCAAAUUUCGUAUUGUUGGAAAUUCCUGAUUUGGAGGCAUUCAUCUCAUUAACCACGGUACCACUUAAGGAAGUUUUAAAAUUUCCUGAAUUAGCCAUACAUUCUUCUGACAGUUCCGAACGUAACCACCUUUCACCGGAGGACAUGGCAUUCCGACGAGUUGGAGCCUUCAUCUCUGGCCCAUAUGACCUUGUAAUAUCAGCAGCAUCACAAUCAUACAACUUCGGACAAAGUUUUUCUGAGUGCCCAAGGAGUCCACAAAUGAAGCAGAAAGUAUUUAAUCGUUCAUACUUGAAAUCAACCCAGAACCAAUCUCCUCCCUCCUUCUUUAGUCGCAAUCUUCGCUUCAGGGGUUUCCGGACAUCAAUGGAUACCCUUAUGCGCAUAUAGUUUCUCCACACUCCCAUGAGAUUAUUAGGAUCUGAAGAUUGAAACUCACCAAUAUUGUUACCAAUAUUUAUCAAUACUUUCUCUGACAGAAACCCAAUGGGUAAGUUGUACACCUGGAUCCAAAACGAAGUAUGGAAUAAAGAAACCAUAUUCGGUUGUUCAUUCUCCCCCAAUCUCUUUAAAAUUAGAAUAUGUUGGUCGAAGGUCCACGGUCCCGAAUCAAUCACACGCUUGAGGUCAACUUCGUGAAAGAAUUGGAACAAGAAAAGAGAAGGUGAUAAAUCUUUGAUGCACACUCCCUUCCCUGGACGCCAUAAUGCCGCCAUAGUAUUUUUCAUGGCCGGAAAAUUGAUCACCUUAUCAGUUAAAAACCUCCCCACCAAGCAGAAUCUAAAAUCAGUCAACCCUGCAUUUCCAGUGGCAAUAUCCUCACUAUGAAAAACAAGACCAUCGUCAUCUUCCUCCCCAAUAGAAACCUUUUCAUAUGCAGCAUUCAUCUCAUGCUCCCCAAAAUUUCUACUGGUUGUCAUAGUACUCGUAAUAAGCAGGAAAUAUGGCUAUCUAGCCGGAAAUAUCCUAGAGCAAACUUGUCAGAAGGACAAGACAAACAAAGCUUGCCAAAGAGACAAGAGUAGCCUAAAAUUACGAAUUGUGUUUGAGUAGGAGGAUAAUGUAAGAAAACUUGGCACUUUUAUUCAACUGAAGAAAUUUUACAAUUUAAAUUAGAAACGAUAAAAUUUAAUAAUUAACUAUUAUUUGAACUAAUUGAAUCGUGCGCCAUCAUUUGUGUAAUGUAUCCUAUUUGCAAAAUAAACGGCAGGAUGCGGUUUGCGGACAGAUUAUGGAAAGAAAAAGGCAUAUAUUUCUCUCCUAUUUUGGUAAUUCUAUAUUUCUAUUCUUCUUCUUUUUCAACCCCAAAUAAUCAAAAGCUCUCCAAUGGCUUUCGUAUCCACAAGGACCACAACUCGUCCAUUUCAUUUUACUUCAAUUUUAGUAUCAGCUCUUAGAUGUAAUUUCUCAUCUUCGUUCCCUCAUACCGGAAAACCCACAUCUUCAAUUUCGGAAAAUGAACCCUCGUAUCCGACCACAACAGCUAAACUGAAGGAGUCGCUACGACUGACGGUCAAAGACUGAGCCUCACUCGAAAAAUUCCUCAAAGAAAGGUGCAAAUCAUCAGGUCAAGGUGAUAUUAAUCUUAUUACUCCUAAUGAAGCCUUGUGUAUCUUUGAUUACAUGCUCCGUAUGCACCCUUCUCCGCCUCCUGUCUCUUCCUUCAAUAUUUUGUUUGGUUGUCUUGCUAAGAAUAAACAUUAUGAUACUGUCCUUUCACUCUUCAAGCGACUCAAUUCAACUGGGUUGUUUCCAGAUCUUUAUACUUACAAUAUCUUGAUUAACUGCUUUUGCAAAAUGGGUCGAGUUUCUCAUGGUUUUGUUGUUCUUGGGAGAAUCCUCAGGUCUUGUUUUACUCCAGAUGCUGUGACCUUUACUUCUUUGAUUAAAGGUUUGUGUGCGGAGAGUAGAAUCAUGGAGGCCGCCACAUUGUUUAUGAAACUUAAAGCGUUUGGUUGUGAGCCUAAUGUCAUUACAUACACCACUUUGAUUAAUGGAUUGUGUCGAACAGGCCAUACAAUUGUUGCUCUAAAUUUAUUUGAAGAGAUGGCUAAUGGAAAUGGGGAAUUUGCUGUUGUUUGUAAGCCAGACACUGCUACAUACAGUACUAUUAUCGAUGGUCUUUGUAAGGAAGGUUUUGUGGACAAGGCCAAGGAACUGUUUCUGCAGAUGAAGGAUAACAAUAUUAACCCUAACAUGGUUACCUAUACCUCUGUGAUUCGUGGUUUUUGUUAUGCUAAUGAUUGGAAUGAGACCAAGUGUUUGCUAAUUGAGAUGAUGGACCAAGGGGUACAGCCUAAUGUUGUGACUUUCAAUGUCAUCAUGAAUGAGCUCUGCAAGAAUGGAAAGAUGGAUGAGGCAAGUCGGUUGUUGGACCUGAUGAUUCAGUUUGGUGUGCGUCCAAAUGCUUUUGUCUAUAACACAUUAAUGGACGGGUUUUGCUUGACAGGUAGAGUUAAUCGUGCGAAGGAACUAUUUGUUUCUAUGGAGAGUAUGGGUUGCAAACAUACUGUUUUUAGUUACAGUAUUUUGAUAAAUGGUUACUGCAAGAAUAAGGAAAUAGAGGGAGCGUUAACCCUUUAUAGCGAAAUGCUCUCUAAAGGAAUUAAGCCAACAGUUGUUACAUAUAGCACCUUGUUUCUUGGACUUUUUGAAAUACACCAGGUUCAGCAUGCUUUAAAACUGUUUGAUGAGAUGCAGCGUAAUCAUGUGGCAGCUAAUACAUAUAUAUACACUACCUUUAUUGACGGGCUCUGCAAGAAUGGUUUGGAACUGUUUCUGAAGAUGAAGGAUGAGAAUAUUAACCCCAAUGUGGUUACUUAUACCUCUUUGAUUCACGGUUUUUGUUACGCUAAUGAUUGGAAUGAGGCGAAGUGUUUGUUUAUUGAGAUGAUGGACCAAGGGGUACAACCUAAUGUUGUGACUUUCAAUGUGAUCAUGGAUGAGCUCUGCAAGAAUGGAAAGAUGGAUAAAGCAAGUCGGUUGCUGGACCUGAUGAUUCAGAUUGGUGUGCGUCCAGAUGCUUCUGUCUAUAACACAUUAAUGGAUGGGUUUUGCUUGACGGUUAGAGUUAACCGUGCGAAGGAACUAUUUGUUUUUAUGGAGAGUAUGGGUUGCAAACAUAAUGUUUUUAGUUACAGUAUUUUGAUAAAUGGUUACUGCAAGAAUAAGGAAAUAGAGGAAGCGUUAAGCCUUUAUAGCGAAAUGCUCUCUAAAGGAAUUAAGCCAACAGUUGUUACAUAUAGCACCUUGUUUCUUGGACUUUUUGAAAUACACCAGGUUCAGCAUGCUUUAAAACUGUUUGAUGAGAUGCAGCGUAAUCAUGUGGCAGCUAAUACAUAUAUAUACACUACCUUUAUUGACGGGCUCUGCAAGAAUGGUUUUGUUCUAGAGGCACUGGAAUUAUUCCGUGCUAUAAGAAAUAGCAAGUAUGAGCUUAAUAUCGUAUCCUACAACUGCCUCAUUGAUGGAUUGUGUAAAAUAGGCAAACUGGAAACUGCUUGGGAACUGUUUCAAAGUUUGCCUCGUGUAGGCCUAAUGGCAGAUGUUGUAACAUACAACAUCAUGAUCCAUGGGCUUUGUAAUGAUGGGCAAAUGGACAAGGCACAUGAUUUGUUUCUUGAUAUGGAAGCAAAAGGUGUGGAACCCGAUUGUGUCAUAUUUAAUACGAUUAUGCUGGGUUUCAUCCGCAAUAAUGAGAC
This 69412-nucleotide long non-coding RNA is filed under the name Citrus sinensis (sweet orange). Its description in RNAcentral is "long non-coding RNA (CSIN_LNC005115)". The record is from RNAcentral. Lineage: Eukaryota; Viridiplantae; Streptophyta; Magnoliopsida; Sapindales; Rutaceae.